AGUCAUUUUCAAUUAAUUUUUUUCAAAACCAUCACCAAAAUUAAAACUAUUUUUAAGUAUGUAUAUAAUGACCGUUUCAUGUAAAAACCAUCAUUACAAAUUAACACUAUUUUAAUUACACAUAUAAUGACCGCUGUAUAUAAAAAGAGUCAUUAAAAAUUAAGACUAUUUUAAUUAUUUAACUAUACAUAUAAUGACCGUUGUAUAUAAAAACCGUCAUUAAAAAUUGUCAUUUUUAAUGACAGUUCAUUUAUUAAAACUGUCAAUAAAAUUAAGACUAUUUUUAACUACACAUAUAAUGACUGUUGUAUAUAAGAACCGUAAUUAAAAAUGGUCACUUUUAAAGACGGUUUUUAUAAAUGAACCGUCAUUAAAAUUAAGUGUAGAUUUUGUUUGACAUUUAAUGAUGGUCCUAUUACAUAACGGUCAUCAUAAGUGCUACAAAUUAUAACUGUUUGCAUAAUAACCGUCAUAACUUAUGGGUCAUUCUUUUAUAUUUUUGUAGUAGUGAAUUUUCUUGUAGUUUAAAGUCUAUAGUAAACGACAUCGUUUAGAAGUUAAAUAAAUAUUUUUAUUUUUAAAAUUUUUUAAAUUAUGAAAAAUCAACAUAUGGUGCCGUUUCAUGCCCAAAUUGAUCUAUCCUAAACUCACCGUUUCAUUAAAUAUUACUAUGCUAUCAUAUUUCUAUGAUAUAUAAAAACUCUAUCACAAUUUGUCAUGCCUUUAUGAUGUAUGAAAAUUCUGUCAUGUGUCUAUCAUAUUCUUGUGAUAAAUAACUAAUUUUCUAAUAUCUAUCACAAAAAUUCUGUCAUUUUAGCCCAUUAUUCUAGUAGUGAUAUUUAUCCAACUGGACUACAAAGUAAUUGAAAUUAAUUGUAACACCUAUGGACAAAACUUGGACCCAGUGUUAUUUUAUAAUCAAAAUUGAAACCUAUAAUUACAGUAAACUUGAAUCUGAAUCAAAUGGGCAAAUGGGGACAAAUGCCUUCUCUAGGCUCUAACCAUGAAACAAUAAUCAAAUCGUCAGACUUCUAAAAUAAGCCAAUGACACAUUACUCACAAACCCAUCUAUUAACAUCUUCAAAGCUUUGGCACUGAAACUUAAAAGAGAGAUUUGUGUUAAAUAGCAUUGAAAGUAAACACAACAGCAAUUAUAUAUAGCAAAGAUUAGUGGGAAAAAAGAUGUAUUAAAAUUGUUCUUGACUCCCAAUUCUGCCCGAAUAAAAUAAAUGAGCAUAACAAGCAACCGGACCACAGAGAAAGAUAUCUCCAACACCAUAAGCGGUGGCUUCUGAAAAUGCAUUCUGGUUGCAGCUCUAGUUCUUCUCACGGUACAAGUAUGCGUACUCAUGGUAACAGCAAAUCCAAAUGCAGCAAGAAGGAUGCUCCUCUUCCCAAUCAACAAAAAAGUAUCGUCAUUCAUUAUGUGAAAAAUUUUAAGAUCAGAAAUUGGAGGCCAAUUGUGUUCGGAACUCUGAUAUUUUACUUCGAUCUAUGCAAAACCAAAAAUGAAAAUGAAUACUCGAGCAAUAUUCAAAUAUCGAAAGAGCAUAUUUUCAUAAUUAAGUGAGGAAAAAAAUUUUCAGUAUCAAUUAUCAUCAACGGGUUCUUGAUGUUAAGAAUAAGCAUUAAAAUGAGCUGUUCAGGUCGUCUGAUGAAUCAGCAAGCUGUUAAGAAGGCUGUUGCUUUGCUUAAGAAGCCUCUGGACAUGUAUAUAUAAAUCCCUGUAAUCUCUUGUUACAAGCGGCCGAGGUCACGCUCAUGAUUUUGUUGCUUAUAGAAGCUCCUGGACAUAAACCCCCGUAAUCUCAGUUCAUUUUGUAGCUUAAUGAAAUGAAUUUGGCUCACUAUUCUUCUAUCAAAACUUUUAGUAUUUUCCCUUCACCGCAAACAAAUACAGCAACAUCUUUUAACUCUUGAAAUCUUCCAGCUCCGGUGCAAGCCUCAGUCACAAUGUAUUCACUCGAUGGCACAUCUUCACCCCGACUUUUCGGUAAAGUGAAUUAAAGCUUUCAGAACGACGCAUAAAACUUUAAAUUGUUCCUGUAACACACAGAAAGUCUUUAGUUCGGUAUAGUAAAUUCAAUUUCUUAUAAUCUCAUUAAUAUACUUUUUGAAUUUUAUUGUGAUCUUCAUUAGGCGUCAAUUUUUAUUUUUCAUUUAAAAAAAAAAGCACUUUCGGAGUCAUUGUAACAUCUUUUUCUGUGUAAAUAUCUUUUUCUUUUAAUUUAAAAUUAGAUAUAUCAAACUUAUUCAUCGGGGUUUUGUUACAUUUCCCUUAUUUUCAAUAAUUAAUUUGUUAUCUAAUUGGUCAAUAAAUUUGCUUCUUGUUUGUCCCGUACACUAAUAUAGAUGCUGUUUAUUUCUUAGGUUUUGAGAUAGGAAUGACGAAGGACAGAUGCAGGGGCACCGUUUUAAGUUAACCAAAGUUAAAGAUGAUUCGAACCCAUAGUUGUUGCAUAAAAACAUUUGUUAUCUUUACUUUUGUUGUCAAAAUUAUUAUUAUUAUAAUUUUUUUAAUGGUAGAAGUAGAACCUAAUCCCCCACAAUUAUCAUUUAAUAACAUGUUAAUUACCAAACACUAUUAUUUUUUUAUUCAUACCUAGUAGUGAUUUAAAUUUGAAAAGCGACAAAACCAGAAACCAGUUUUUAAUAUAUAAUAAACCAGUUAAUAUUUUUAUUUUUUGAGGAGAAAUGUAAGGAUCCUACAAAAAAAAAAAACCACCAACAUUACAAUGACAGAAUUAGAAACGAAAAUCACCACAACAUUAUAAUUGCAUUCAAUUUCUACGUCUCCUCCUCCUCCUCGUUGCCUUUUGCUGCGUUCCCAACUUCUCCAGAAUCCAUCCGAUAAUUCCUGUGCUGAAGUUGAACCCGAGAACCAAUCCUGCCACAAGUCCGCCAGCGUAGCCAAUCAGAAUGAUUUUCCAAUCAGAUGCGCCUGAAAACAGAGACUCCUCUGAGCCCUCAGUAUGAUCUUCAUUUGCUGGAGCUUUAUUACUCUCACAUCCUUUGGACAAAGGCCUUCCACACAAUCCUGAGUUGCCGUCGAAAGAAGUAUUGUCAAAUGUAGCAAAUUGCUUUCCUUGUGGUAUCAGUCCUGUAAGGUGAUUGUCCGAGACAUUGAAGAAUUCGAGAAAUGUGAGCUAGUUGUUGAGGAAUCUGUCCUGAAAACUUGUUGUUUGAGAGAUCCAAUGAUUCCAAAUUUGUUAGAUUGCCCAAACAUGACGGAAUAUGGCCCUGGAGAUUAUUGUUCUGGAGGUUUAGAACUUGAAGUCCCUUUAAAUUUGCAAUCGAUGCUGGAAUCGCCCCAUCAAAACUAUUGUUUGAGAGAAUAAUUCCCGCUAGGAUAUCCGGAAUCUUGUUAUAUGUCAUCAUUCGCCCUUUUCUGUUCAUUGUCAUUGACUAGUCGUAAGUGCUAAGUAUAUCAUUGGACGUUUGUCCAUUUGGAGAAAGCACAUCUUGCAGAUAUCUUAGCUCACUUGUAUUGACAAUUUUCAUGGCAUUCCAACACAGGAAACUCUUUGAUGGAAGCGUUCCAGUAAAUCUGUUGUUAGAUAGGUCAAUAAUGCGGAGUUUAGAAAAUCCACAAUCAGUUCUGGGUUCUUUUAUAAUGCCAUAAAAUAUGUUAGAUCGUAGGAUGAGAACAUUCAAGUUUGGAAGAGUUCCUAACCAAGAGGGAAAAGUGUCACUAAUCUGGUUGUUCCCAAGACCAAGAAAUUCCAACUUUGAACAGUUGAUCAAUGAUCUUGGAAUUCUUCCUUGAAAUAGAUUAUGGCUUAAAUCAAUCACGCCUAAUCUACUUUCUUUAAUGAAAGUAUUUGGGACGGUCCCAAAGAAGUUGUUCCCCUGCAAGUCGAGCACUGAAAGUUCAUCACUGAAAUUGCCUAAACACUGAGGAAGCAAGCCACUUAAGUUAUUGUGAGACAAAACAAGGCUUUCAAGAAUAUUCAAAUUGCAUAUCCAUGAUGGAAUUUCCCCUGUUAAGUUAUUGUUUGAAGCUAGAUAGUGAAUGGUUCCGGGGGGUGGAACUGGGAAUGGUCCUUGUAAAUUAUUAGAGCUAAGAUCAAAAGUCAGCAAAUCACCUUUAUUCCCGGGAAGAACAACAGGAUACUGAUCAAACCUCGUUAACAAGUUAUGCGAAAUGUUCAAGGCAUUGAGAUUCUGCAUAUUGGGGUCUAACAACCAUUUAGGUACUUUUUCCUGAAUUCUAUUGUUAGAAAGAUCCAUGAACCGCAAAUGAUGUUGGUUUUGCAAGAAAUUAGGAAAUUUAGUAAGAUUGCAUGAACGCAGUCCUAUAUACUUAAGUUUCUGUGAAGUGGUAUCAGAAGUGGCUUUGGUGAGCACUGACAACCUAUUUAAUGAGAGACCUAAAAAUUCCAAAUUUUUCCAGCUAGUAAGUAAAACAUCUAACUCUAUCAUUCCUCUAUAAGAAUUUUGAGCAAGGUCAAGGGCGGUAAGUUGGGAAAGAUUCCUAAGUGAAGAUGUAAUUUGACCUGAAAAAUUACACUUAGCGACAUUUAUUGCUUCCAAUGAUCUAAGAUUUCCAAUGGGACCAAGUAGGUCACCUGAAAAAUUAUUCGAUCCAAGAUGCAAAUAUUGUAGCUGGGUGAAAUUACCAAUCGAAUGUGGAACUUUGCCCCAAAAACUAGAUGACCUCAGAUCAAAUAACUUCAAAGAACUAAAAUUUCCAGUGGACCAUGGAAACUCACCCGAAAAAUUAUUGAAUGAAAGGUCAAGUUUUUCCAAAGAAAAAAAUUUCGAAUGGAAGUAGGCAACUCACCAAAAUAUCCAUUUUGUGAAAGGUCAAGUUCUUUCAAAGAACCAAGAUUUCCCAUGGAAAUAGGCAAUUCACCAAAAAAUCUAUUUUGUGAAAGGUCAAGUUCUUUCAAAGAACUAAGAUUUCCAAUGGAAAUAGGCCACUCACUCGACAAAAUAUUUGCAGAGAGAUCAAGUUCUUCCAAUGAAUGAAGUUUACCAACGGAAACAGGUAGCUUACCCUGUAAUUCAUUUAGUGAAAGGUCUAAAUGAAAGAGCUUGGAUAGAUUACCGAGUGAGGAUGGAAUUCUUCCUCAAAUUUGUUAAAAAAGAAAAAAGAAAAAAGAACACUCGAGAUGGACAAACUUGGAAAGGCUGCUGCUAGAGUUGAUAGAACCAAAAAGGCAGCUAUGGGAGAGGUCAAGCUUGAUGACAUGACCAGUGUUCUUAUUGCAAUGAACUCCGUCCCAAGAGCAGCAAUCAACGUUACCUUCUUCUGGCUUCCAUGAUGCCAUUGUAGGACGACAGUCAAAUUUUGAAGCAUAAAAAUCAUUACUGAUGCGGCUUUCUUUGAAUUGCAACAAAGCAGAGCGCUCAUCAUCAUGGCAGAGUGGCGGCAUAGAAGAAGCAGUGAAGUUAGCAAUUGUAAAAUUAAAGAAAAAGAAAGGAAAAACUAACCGUAUGAAUAUUGUGAAUAAACAUAUGGAGGAUAAACCCAUAGUUUUCUCAAAAAUUAAAUUUGUUUAACUUUGUAGAUGUGAAGAAAUUUAAGGAUCUUGGUUUGCUUUUAUAGGCAAAUUGCAGCAAUUCAAACAUUUUAGUCAUUGGACUCUUUUUUUAUUUUUUUUAAGUCAACAAAAGUUAGUCUUAAUAAUAUUUAUUUUUUAUUAUUUGAUAUGAUGUCCCACAAAAAAAAAUUGAUUUAAUGUGUUAUUAACAAUCUAUCCAGAAAAAACAAUUCUUUAAUAGGAUCUAUCGAACUUGACCUAUGUUUAUAUUUCCUUUCAUUUUCUAUAAUUUCAUUUUCUGCAUUAAUUUGCUUCUUUUUGUUUUUUUUUCUCCUUUCCCCGCUUGUAUUUCCCUUCACGGCCAGUUGCGUAUCCUGCAUACUCGAGUUUAUGUGAUUGGCUUGAUGACUUUUCACUACAACUCAAAAAAAAAUUGAACCCAAAAAAGAAAACAAUUUUUUAAAAUAUAACACAGAUAAUAAUGGUGAGAGUAAUUUAGGUCAAUUCAAAAUCGCUAAUUUGGAGUCAGAUUCAUGUAUUAAUUGUAUCAUAAGUUACCAUCUCUGUGUCUAUGGCGUGGCAGAGGCUCACGGAAACUCCAGACUAGUGAGUCUAUCGUUACUGAAAAAUGCAUGAAUGGCAUGGAUGCAAAAGUAAAAAAAUUUGGAACUGAUGAUUAAGCCAUUAGCUAACAAUAAUUAACUUCUGAAGAGGCAACGUCCCACCCAAAAAAAAAAAAGAAAAAAAAAUGAUUUAAUGUGUUAUUAACAAUCUAUCCAGAAAAAAAAAAAAAUUAUUCAAUAGGAUCUAUCGAACUUGACCUGCGUUUAUAUUUCCUUUCAUUUUCUAUAAUUUUUCAUCUAAUGGGUCAAUGAAUUAAUUUGCUUCUUUUUUCUUUUUUUUCCUCCUUUCCCCACUUGUAUUUCCCUUCACGGCCCGUUGAGUAUUCUGCAUACUCGAGGGUAUGUCAUUGUCUUGAUGACUUUUCACUACAACUCUAAAAUUUUCCUCCCCAUGGCAUGUUGAUAUUAACUCCAAAUUAGCAAUAUUAUCACUGUCACUCUUCUUUGUAAACUACGCACUCGUUGGUUGAGUGAUGACACCUCCUCAACUUAAUUAUUCUCAGGGUCAAGAAUUUGAGUUUUACUCCUAGAUUUCUUAGCCGAUCUGCCAAUGCGCCAAUUUGUAAUGAGCUUUAGCUGAUGGUUUCUGAGAUGGGCUCUAAUUAGUGCACCUAAAAUGCAACAAAUAUCUCACGUUAACAACCCAAAGUUCCAUAAUAUCAUGCAAAAUCAUUCUAGAAGUUAAAAUUAGGUGUUAAUCCGAUACAAACACCAGAAAAAUUAAUGAAAUUUGGAUUUACUAAAAUUGCAUGAUUUAUUAAUUUAGAUCAAUUAAAAAUAUUUCAUUUUAUAGUGUCGGAUUCCCUAUAAGUCGUCAUAAAUCAUUAUCCAGACGAUCAAGGCCGGCGGAUAAAGACUCAAGACUAGAAUUAGAAGUCUUCGAGUAUCAAUCAUAUGUCGUGUCAGAAAAUUCUUUCUUAGUUCAAGCCAACUAAAGUUGAAUUCGCCAUAUCAUUAUAAUGGAUGUUAAUAUUGCUAACUUGGAGUCAAAAGUCAUGCGUUGAUUACAUUUGUAUUGUCUGAAUGACUAGGACGUGGCAAAGGCUCAUGGAAUAGAUCUGCUUCUUUUUUCUCCUUUCCCCACUACCACCAGUUCACUUAACUUUUCCUUCACGGCAUGCUGAAUGAGAUCUUCUACUCCAUCAGNNNNNNNNNNNNNNNNNNNNNNNNNNNNNNNNNNNNNNNNNNNNNNNNNNNNNNNNNNNNNNNNNNNNNNNNNNNNNNNNNNNNNNNNNNNNNNNNNNNNNNNNNNNNNNNNNNNNNNNNNNNNNNNNNNNNNNNNNNNNNNNNNNNNNNNNNNNNNNNNNNNNNNNNNNNNNNNNNNNNNNNNNNUUAAAUUGUCAAAAAGACUUGAAUGUUCUUAUCCUAAAAUAAGUUCCAUUAAAACAGUCAUAAUAUUUAUGGCAUGGUCCUACUUAAACCAGUAAAAUCUCUUGAACUAAUUUAAAGGUUCAAUCCUGCUCACAUGAGUAAGGAGAGGAUAGGGUAUUUGUUUAAAUUUUAUUGUAUUGAAUUUCGCACUUUCAAUACUUCUACGUAGUUAUUACGAUUUCAUCAAGUUUACGAUGUUAAUGAUCAAACAGUACACUUUCUAAACUAACUAAAAUAGUACCUAGCUAGCUAAUUAGAUAACGGAUUAAUGGAAUAGAUGUGGAUGUCUAGUUUUAGAGUUUGAUUUUUUUUUUAAAAUUAAUCAAAGAAAACAUAUUUUUAAUUUUGGGUUAUUGUACUAUUAAUUAAUAAUUUAAUUAAAAAAAUUUAUUUAUUUGCUUUCAUUCUAGUUGUUGAAAAUGCCUUUAAUAGGGGUUGGUUCAAUAUUUGGUUAGACUCUGAUUUCAUGCCGGCGAUCCAACUCCUUCUCUUCAUCCCUCUUUGACCAUUUGCAAUGUACUUGCAUUGCAAAUGUCUGUAGUCAAACUUGGGUCUUCAAUGUACUCACAUCCCUUGGUAGGAUUUCUCUCCUUCAAAGAUUAACGCUCUUUCUUCUCGAGAUGCAAAUGGCUUUUCAAAUUGUCAUUUUUGUUAAUAUAGGUCCUACAUUCAUGGUUUUCCUUAAGAUUUUAUAUCAUCUUAGCUUUAUGCAUUUAAAGAGUGAGAUUUUAUAUCACCUUAGCUUUAUGCAUUUAAUGAGGGAUAGGGUUUACUAUAUCCCCUAAUUAAUUGUGUUAAGUCUAUUUUUUAUAGAGUUGACAUCUUAUGGCAAGUUUGGUAAAUUGAAAUUUUAUUUACUGAAUUUCAUGUAAUAGUGAAAUGGCCCGCCCCGAACCCCAGGGUGAGUCUAUUUAAUCUCAUCAAAACUGGAUUGAUAAUAAUCUAAUUAGUGAAAAUUCUGUCGAAAAUUCGGCAAAGUCUCCUUUAUAAAUAUAACACUCCCAAUCUGAAAAUAUGUAAAACAAGCACUUCCAAAAUAAUUCAAUUUAUAAUAAACUCCAAUGAUCAACAUCCUCAACCAAAAUGCUGAGUGUUUCUCAAGAUAUCUCUAGAGUCUCAAAGGAUAAUAUUAUAAUUAAUAUUAAUAUACCUCAGUUUAUUCUUAAUCCCAAAAGAACAAGAUAACCAGGAUGUCCUAACAAAAAGCAUCUAUAUCUUCUAACACCAUCACGUGGCCAAGACUCAAAAUACUUCUGAAGAGGCAACGUCCCACCAAAAAAAAAAAAAUUUUGAUUUAAUGUGUUACUAACAAUCUAUCCAGGGAAAAAAAAAUUCUUUAAUAGGAUCUAUCGAACUUGACCUGUGUUUAUAUUUCCUUUCAUUUUCCAUAAUUUGUCAUCUAAUGGGUCAAUGAAUUAAUUUGCUUCUUUUUUUGUUCUCCUUUCCCCACUUGUAUUUCCCUUCACGGCCAGUUGACUAUUCUGCAUACUCGAGUGUGUGUCAUUGUCUUGAUGACUUUUCACUACAACUCUAAAAUUAUCACUGUUACUCUUCUUUGUAAACUACGCACUCGAUGGUUGAGCGAUGACGCCUCCACAACUUAAUUAUUCUUAGCCGAGCUGCCAAUGCGCCAAUUUGUAAUGAGCUUUAGCUGAUGGUUUCUGAGAUGGGCUCUAAUUAGUGCACCUAAAAUGUAACAAAUAUCUCACGUUAACAACCCAAAAUUCCAUAAUUUCAUGCAAAAUCAUUCUAGAAGUUAAAAUUAGGUGUUAAUCCGACACAAACACCAGAAAUAUUAAUGAAAUUUGGAUUUACUAAAAUUGGCAUGAUUUUUUAAUUUAGAUCAAUUAAACAUAUUUUUAAUUUUUAUAGUGUCGGAUUCACUAUAAGUCGUCAUAAAUCAUUAUCAACAGACGUUCAAGGCCCGCGGAUAAAGACUCAAGACUAGAAUUAGAAGUCUUCCAGUAUCAAUCAGUCUUAGGUGAUGGCAAGCUCGAUUUCAGUCAAGUGGUUUAGGUCUUUGCAUGUUCUAUGCAUAUGUCGUGUCAGAAAAUUCUUUCUUAGUUCUAAGCCAACUAAAGUUGAAUUCGCCAUAUCAUUAUAAUGGAUGUUAAUGUUGCUAACUUGGAGUCAAAGUCAUGCGUUGAUUGCAUUUGUAUUGUCUAUAUGACUAGGACGUGGCAAAGGCUCAUGGAAUAAAUCUGCUUCUUUUUUCUCCUUUCCGCACUACCACCAGUUGACUUAACUUUUCCUUCACGGCAUGCUGAAUGAGAUCUUCUACUCCAUCAGUGCAUUUAGGAUUCGAUUUCUAAUUUGUCCGAAGUCUCUGCAUUUUCUUGAACUCUCUACUCUUCCUCGUGUAAUUAAGGAGGAUUAAAGUAAAAGAAAAGGGUAGAACCAGAUAUUCCUAUUUGUUGCACUAACUAUCAGAUUUCCAUAUUAUAGUAAUUAUUGGCCAAAAACAUAAUUUUUUAUUUAAAUUGUCAAAAAGACUUGAAUGUUCUCAUCCUAAAAUAAGUUCCGUUAAAACAAUCAUAAUAGUUAUGGAAUGUUUAUAACUAGAAUGAAUGCUCCUACUUAAACUAGUAAAAUCUCUUGAACUAAUUUAAAGGUUCAAUCCUGCUCACAUGAGUAAGGAGAGGAGAGGGGAUUUGUUUAAAUUUUAUUGUAUUGAAUUUCGCACUUUCAAUACUUCUACGUAGUUAUUACGAUUUUAUCAAGUUUACGAUGCUAAUGAUCAAACAGUACACUUUCUAAACUAACUAAAAUAGUACCUAGCUAGCUAAUUAGAUAACGGAUUAAUGGAAUAGAUGUGGAUGUCUAAUUUUUGAGUUUGAAUUUUUUUUAAAAAUUAAUCAAAGAAAACAUAUUUUUAAUUUUGAGUUAUUGUACUAUUAACUAAUAAUUUAAUUGAAAAUUUAUUUAUUUGCUAUCAUUCUAGUUGUUGAAAAUGCCUUUAAUAGGGGUUGGUUCAAUAUUUGGUUGGAGUCUCCGAUUUCAUGGUGGCGGUCCAACUCCUUCUCUUCAUCCCUCUUUGACCAUUUGCAAUGUACUUGCAUUGCAAAUUUCUGUAGUCAAACUUGGGUCUUCAAUGUAGUCACAUCCCUUGGUAGGAUUUCUCUCCUUCAAAGAUUAACGCACUUUCUUCUCGAGAUGCAAAUGGCUUUUCAAAUUGUCAUUUUUUUUAACGUGGGUCCUACAUUCACUAUUAGAAAAAUGGGCUACCAUGACAGAAUUUUUAUGAUAAAUAUUAGAAAAUUAGUCAUUUAUCACAAGAAUGUGAUAGACACAUGAAAGAAUUUUCAUACAUCAUAAAGCCAUGUCAGAUUUGUGAUAGAGUUUUUAUAUAUCAGAUAAACAUGAUAGCAUAUAAAUAUUUAAUCAAACCGUGAGUUUCAGAUGGAAUUAAUUUGGGCAUGAAACGACACCGUUUAACAGAUUUAAAAAAUUUUAAAAAUAAAAAUAUUUAUUUAAUAUUUAAACGCUAUCAUUUAACUAUAUUGACUAAACCACAAAAAAAUUAAGUGUUGGCACCUUUGACUUAUCACUUCAUCAGCAAGGGCUGAGAAACCAAAGCAGUGAAACCCCUCAAAAUCUAAAAUUAACCUAUUUUAAUCUACAAAUUGGUUUUGAAACCCAUUGCAUGGAAACCAAAAUCAUAGUAUAUGCUAUUGAAGGAGCCUUCGUGUCCUUAUUUUAAACCCCCAUUAUUUUGAACCGAUUGGUUUUAGGCACAAAAUCACCACACACGCUCAUUGCUGCGCCUUCGCGUCCAUUAUUGAAGCCGUCGGUGUCACUACUUCUUUGUAUUGUUCAAUCGGCGUUAGAGAAGCCAUCCUGUAAUUGUUUAAUCCCUAGGUUUGUCAUCAAUUAACUUUUUUAAUUUUUAUUCUGAAUAAAUCAAUUGGCCAUUAUAAAAUUAAUUGUUAGUUUUGUUGUUAUCUCCCUUAUUUGUUCAUAAUUUAUGCCCUUUGUUUUGGGAGUUAUAUUAUGAAUGGUUUAUGUUUAUUAUUUAUUUAUUUUAAUUCUUGUUUGUUUCUGUUGUUAUAUAUAUAUUUUUAGUUCAAGAAGCUUAUACUUUGUCCUUUUAUUAAAUCUAGAAAUUGCUCAAUCAUUUAAUUUAGCAUGUCCUCUUCUUUUUUAACAAAAUUUUUUUGUUCUGAAUCGCAAGAUCUCACUGCCCUGUUCGCUUUCAAACUCGAUUUCUAACAUCACGUUUGUUCAAUUUUUUACUUGCCUUUCCGUUCAAUGUUUAAAAAAUGUUUGCUGGUAAUGGUUUGUUUGUUAUAUUCUAUAAUUUUUCAGUCAAAGCUUGCAUGUGUGUGAAGUGAUUUUGGUUGAUGAUAUAGCACUUUUCAUUUACUAGUGUCUUUUAUUAGGAUGAAGCUGAAACUGUGGUCCAAUGGUGUUGGCAUUUUUUUUAAUGAUUGUGAGCCAGAUUUUGUGUAUUUUAUUGAGUUACAAAGUAAGGCCCCCUUUUUCAAUUGUCUUUUUUAUGUUUGAAGGAAGUGGUACCAUGUGGGGGCAAGUUUGGUCAUGUGGACCAAGUAAUGUUUAGUUGCUUAUCUAUAUAUAGUCUUGUGGUCCAUGAAAUGCUGGAUUGUUAGAAUUUUUUUUAAAAUAAAUGUUAAAUGUAUAUAGGCCAAGUUAUUUAGGAUAUUAUUAGUUGGGUAUGGUUAGUCGGUGAUUUUGGUAAAUGAUGAUAGCAUGUUGGUAAAUGAUGAUAGCACAUGAUGACAAGUUUUGUUUUAAACUUAUUUAUUUUAUUAAAUUUAUAAACUGAAUAUUAAUAAUGUUUUGUUGCUUAAUUUAUUGAUAAUGAAAACCGUUUAUCAUUGUUGCCCAUUAGUACAUUAUGUUGAAAUUUAUCUCAAUUAUAUGUCAGGCACUAGACAAAAUAUGGAUAAAUCUUGGCUUAAAUAUGAUAGAUUGUCCGAUGAGUAUAAGGCUAGUGUGGAAAAAUUUAUUAAGACCACAGUUGAAAGUAAUCAAGAAAUUAGUGUUGUUAGGUGUCCAUGUGAUAAAUGUCGGAAUUUAGCAUUUCAUAGGCCUAAAGAAGUGAAAGAUUAUUUAAUUAUAUGGGGUUUUGUUACGUCAUACAAAACAUGGGUUUGGCAUGGGGAAGAUAUCUGUAACAAAUCUCUUGACAAUAUAGGUUGCCAAAAUGACAGUGGAUAUAUGGAUUAUGAUGGUGGUAAUAUUGUUGAAAUGGUUGAAGAUGCUUUUAAGGAUUGUGAUAGUGAUCCUAAAGCAUUCAAAAAACUAUUAGAAGAUUCUGAAAAGCCUUUGUACCUUGGAUUAAACAAAUUUACCCAGUUAUCAGCUUUAGUUAAAUUGUACAAUAUAAAGGGCAGAUAUGGGUGGUCUAAUAGUAGCUUUUCAGAUUUGUCGAGUGCUCUUUCUAACAUGUUACCGGAAGGAAAUGAAUUGCUUGUAUCAAUGUAUGAGGCCAAAAAGACAAUGAGUGCUUUAGGCUUAGAGUUAUAAAAAUUCAUGCUUGUGCAAAUGAUUGUAUACUCUAUAGAAAAGAGUAUGAAAGCCUUUCUAAUUGUCCUACAUGCUGCUUAUAGGAAGGAGGUUCCUGCAAAAGUGUUAUGGUAUUUCCCUUUUAUACCUAGAUUUAGGUGUAUGUUUCAGUCCUCACAAACUGCCAAAGACUUGACUUGACAUGUAAAUGAGAGGGAAAUAGAUAUUAAGCUUCGACAUCCAAUUGACUCACCCGCAUGGAAGUUAGUUGAUGAAAAAUUGCCUACCUUUGCAUUAGAGCCUAGAAAUCUACGUCUUGCCCUAUCAGCUGAUGGCAUUAAUCCUCAUAGCUCUCUUAGUAGUACGUAUAGUUGCUGGCCGAUUCUUCUUGUAACAUACAAUCUUUGAAACAACCCGCCCCGAACCCCCGGGGAUGAGUCUAUCUAAUCUCGCCUAAACGAAUUAAUAAUAAUUAUAAUAUCUAAGAAUUCUACCAAAAAUCUAGCAAAGUCUCAUAUAUAAUUAUGACAUCCCCAAACUUGCAAUUUAUAAAAUUAAACCUGCAAUUUAUAAAAUUAACGCUCCCAAAAAUGAUACAAUAUUCAAUCAACCUCCACAACCAACUUCCUCAAUCAAACACCAAUAUUCUUCAAACAUAUAAUGUCAAGAAUACAAUAAUUUAUCCUUAAUCACAAAUAAAUAAUAAAUUAUACAAUUCAAAAUAUCCCAACAAAACAUCUAUGAUUCCUAACACCAUCAUGUAGUCAUAAUUUCAAAUCUAACUAUCGUUGCUGGGUCGACUGAUGUACCUGCAAAUCUCCUGUGGGGGGAAAAAAUAUAAUAAAAACGGGAUGAAUAUAAAACUCAGUGAGCUCAGUGAGUGGAUAGUAAUUUUUGAAAAAAUAAAUUUAUUUAAAAUGAUUUAAUCUUUCCCAAAUCAAUUUCAUCAAAAAUAUCAUAAGAACUUACAUAAACUUAUUUAAUUCAAAUCAUGCACUGAAAUAACAAUAUUACAUAAAUAUGCGUAAAAUCAAUGAAAUCAUAAUACUUAUGAUAUCAAAUACUGAAUACCAAAAACUAUCACCAAACAAGUACCCAGGAGAAUAAUCUCAUCAUAUUCGGACCUCGACGGACGGGCAAUCAGGGAACCAUCAUGCCUCGGAGUUACAACAGAUAGACGGGGAAAUGUCAUAUCAUAUCUCAUAUAUCUCAUUAUAUCUGUGCAUGCAUAAUCUGGUCCCUAAAUGACAAGGCACCCAAGCACACGGCCCAAAGUCUCUGUGUGUAUUCAGACGGGCCCUAAAGGCCUAUAUCUCAUCUGUAUCAUCAUAUCUCGUCUGUAUCAUCAUAUCUCGUCUGUAUCAUCAUAUCUCAUUUGUAUCAUCUGUAACUCAAUAUUUGUAUCUCUGUAAUCACCAUACUGCAUGCAUAUUCCCCCAAAAGGCAAAAGCGCCCAAACACACGGCCCAAAGCCUCUAUGUGUGUUCAGACGGGCCCCAAAGGCCUCUCAUCUAAUAUCAUAUGUAUCACUGUAUCUGGAGGCGAUGGGUACUGUCCAAUGAUUUUCUAAACAACCUUUUACACACAUGUACAUAAACAUAUAAUCACAUCUGAAUUCGCAUUACCUUUUUAUUCAACAUACUCAAUUCCACUCAAUUCUCUUUAAAACUAUUAUCAUGAAUUUACUCAAAAGCGAUAAUAAAAUCAUUAAUCAAACUCAUUCUUAAUAAUAAUAAAUAUCAGCACGCAGAAAAAAAUCCAUUUUCUAGAAAAUCAUUAAAUCGAAGCAUCAAAUACUUAUUAUCAAAACAUGUUGUAUUGUAUAGUAAAAUCAUAAUAUACUAUAAAAAUAGGUUUUAUAUAUUCCACUCAGAGUGAUGACGUCCAAACUCGGUAUUAACAAUAUUCAUGGGUUGAUUCUCGUGCGCGGGUCCUCCUAAUCAAGAAAAUGACAUAAUCAUUCUCUAUAAAUUUGAAAUAUAACUAAUUUUACAUAAUAAUUCUCGAAACAAAUAUCUAACCACAAUAAACUAUUCCCGCAUGCACAAAAUUACCAAAAUACCCCUAUAUGCCAAAAUUACCAAAAUACCCCUAACAUCAUUAUUUUACAAAAUUAUCCUCAGAAUCUUCAAUUACCAAACUAUCCUCAAUUCAGAUCACAAAAAUAACCACAAUGUCAGAAAAUUACAAAAUUACGUUGGAGUGUAAAAUUACCAAAAUACCCAACAACGUAAAUUAUUGAAUUACCCCCAAAAUCUCAAAUUACCUAAUUGUCCUAGUCCGAAAUUACAAAAUUAUCCACCGAUUCCAAAAAUUACAAAUUUAUCCUCGAAGUUUAUGAAAUUACUGAAUUACCCCCAUCGGUCCACGGUGACCGGAGUUCAGUCAACGCGACGUGAAGCUCAGGUCUAAUAGUUUUGACCACGCUGAGUCCAAUGGUGGUGGCUGUGAGUUCCCACGCACGGUGACAGUGGCGGAUCGAGCUUCCCAAUCUGCGAGCUUUCUGGUGGUCGAUCGGUGGAAUUUCGACCGUUUCAGGAGGCGAGGUUGGUCGGAAAAUGAUAAGGGUUAGGUGAGGAUCAAGAUCCAGGCAGUGGCAUCACCCAAAAUUGGCGGAGUUAACGGUGACGAAAACGGGUUGAGCUGCGGGUUUUCCGAGCUUGAUCACCGGUGUUCUCGUUGUUUUCCAACGACGAGGAAGGUAAGGGUAUGACCAGUGUCUCACAAGCUUUCUAUCCGUACCUUGCUCGGCCGGUGAGGUGGCCAAAAAUGGAAGUUACGAUAGGGUCAGGGUUGCGGGUUUCGGGUCGAAUUCGGGUCAAAAUCGGGUCUAUCUCUCUCCCGCGCCCUCUCACAUCUUUCCUUUUUUUGAAACCGGCUCCCUUCUUUCAAUUUAUAGAAACUAGCUUUUUUUUUUAACUUACUUCGAAUUAAGCCAAUGUCAAACCCGUGUUGAAAUAAAAUCCGACUACACAACCAUUGAAUCGUGUUUGAAAUGUCUCAAUUUUAUGUUGUGACAAAUUUAAAUUUAUUCAAAACACGAUCCAUUUAUUAGCUCGACCCGAAUCCAUUAAUUCAUGGUAAGAAAUCGACCCGCGUCAAGUUUGCUCGUAAUAAUUUGUAGCCAAUCUGAUGACUUUAAAAUUAAUACUAAAAUGAAAAACACAUAAUACACUUAACUAGGAAAAAUUAAGGUGCAUAUAUUAUAAUCCUCCCCCGUAUAAAAAUUUUGUCCUCGAAAUUUACACAUCUGAUGAGAACAGGUGAGGGUAUUGGGCUCGCAUUAAGUCUUCGCGUUCCGAAGUAGCCUCUUCCCUUGUGUGAUUCCUCCACAACACUUUUAAGUUGUAUAUUCUCAUUAGUAUUCUAAACCAAUUCGGGACCAAAAAGCUUUCGCUCACCAACCUCAUCCCAACAUACGGGAGUUCUAUAUUUUUUGCCAUGCAAAGCCUCAUAAGGUGCCAUCUCGAUACUAGCUUGAUAACUGUUAUUAUAAGUAAACUCCAUCAAGGGUAAAUAAAUGUCCCAACUACCCUUAAAUUCCAAAACACAAGCUCGUAACAUAUCCUCCAGGGUUUGAAUAGUACGCUCUGACUGACCAUCAGUCUGUGGAUGAAAAGUUGUCCUAAAAUUCAGCUUGGUGCUUAAUGCCUUUUGCAAGCUUGUCCAGAACUUAGAAGUGAACUGGGAAUCUCUAUCUGAAACAAUAGACACAGGUGCUCCGUAAAGCUGAACCAUCUCGGCCACAAAAAUAUUCCCUAACUUGUCCAUCGAAUAGGUGGUCUUGAAUGGUAAAAAGUGAGCAGAUUUUGUAAGUCGAUCAAAAACCACCCAAACACUAUCAUGACCACCUUGGGUACAUGGAAGUCCCGCUACAAAAUCCAUGGUGAUGUGCUCCCACUUCGACUCAAGGAUCGGAAGCGGUUGCAAAAACCCUGCAGGUCUCUGAUGUUCAGCCUUAAUCUGCUUACAAACUAAACACCAAAAUACAAAUUCUGCUAUCUCUCUCUUCAUAACUUGCCAUCGGUAAUGAUCCCUCAAGGUACGAUAUAUCUUCGUACUACCAGGAUGCAUUGUGUAAGCUGAAUAAUGAGCUUCUUCCAUGAUCUCCUUUUUCAGCUCCUUAAUAUUGGGUACACAAAGUCGAUUACCCAUAACUAAAACUCCAUCAUCUCUCACUACAAAAUCAGUUCGUAAGCCUUUCAGUACAUCCUCUCUUAACUUUAAUAAUUGUAUAUCCUGAUCUUGCAUCUGAUGUACUUUGUCAAUCAAAGUCGGCCUAACUCAAAAAUUAGCUAUCAAAGCUCUGCAAUUUUCAAUAUCCAACUCAACUCCCAAAGAUCUCAGCUCGAUCAAUAAAGGCAUAUAUGUCACUCACAAGUGAGCUAUAGAGCUGGAAGACUUCCUACUUAGCGCAUCAGCUACCACAUUCUCUUUGCCCGGAUGAUAAUCAAUAGUGCAAUCAUAGUCUUUAAUUAGCACAAUCCAUCUCCUCUACCUCAAAUUUAACUCUUUUAGAGUAAACAAAUACUUUAAUCUCUUGUGAUCAGUGAAAAUCUGGCAUGUUGCCCCGUAUAAAUAAUGCCUUCAUAUCUUGAGUGCAAAUACCACUGCUGCCAGCUCUAAAUCAUGAGUUGGGUAGUUUUGUUCAUGCUUUUUAAGUUGUCUAGAAGCAUAAGCCACUACUUUCCCAUAUUGCAUUAGCACACAACCCAAUCCUUGCCUGGAUGCAUCACUGUAUACUACAAACCCUUCAUUACCAGAAGGAAGUGUAAGAACUGGUGCUGAAGUAAGACCUGUCUUGAGUUCUUGAAAACUCUUUUCACAGUCAUCAUCCCACUGGAACUUAGCAUUUUUUUCUAGUUAAUCGUGUCAGAGGAGUAGCAAUCUUAGAGAAUCCCUUGUGCAAAUUUUAUUGAACUCGCAAGUGCACGAAUCUAUUGUAGAAUAUAGUAAUGGUGACGAGUGUCGAUCCCACGAGGAUGUGGAUUUUAAUUAUGUGUAAAAUUAAUUUUCUAAGUGGGUGGUUGGAUUUGUGGUGAAAAUGAUUUGGAAUAUUCUAAAAUUUAAAUUAGAAUGGCGGGAAUAAAUUAAAGCGAAGUCUAUUGAAAUGAAACACUUGGGUAUCUGGAUCUACAUCAACAUGUACCAUGAGCUAAAUAUUCCUUAUUAAUGUCAAUUAAAUCAUAAGGGGGGUUUUCACUUCUCAUGAACCACACUCUAAUCAAUAUGGUUCUAAGGGCUUAUCAUGCCAAAUAGUAAUAACCUUGCACUAGGGAGCCAGUUAUACCAGUGCGGUAUCUAGACAAGAUUAUUACUAUCUGUCGACGAAAAGUCAAAACAUCCACAUAAAUUAGAGGGGAAGAGAAAUAAAUUUACCAAAUCAAACCCAUGGAAUAUAUUGAGACUUCACCUUCAACCCAAGCUUGAAAGAAAAUUAGCUACUCAUAAUUGAAUUAGGGGUAAAAUGAGAAUUUAUUAAAAUACGUAGAAAAUACAAGAUGAAGAAGGAAUUAUAGAAAAUGGAGUUAAAAAAUGAAUUUAGGGGUCUCAAAUUAGGGGGGAGCCCCCUUUUUAUAGAUACACUGAGUAAAUCAUGGCCAUCGGAUUAAAAAUAAUUUGGACGCUCAGAAUUGCGCCACGUGUCAACAGUACGCGGUUUGACCAUGCGGUUUGAAUAGUGACGCGGUGUGAACAGUGAGGCGGCUUGAAUAGUGACACAGUUUAGUUAUAAAUAAUUUCGUGUAUAUGCAUGUACCGUACGCACGAUUUUUGGUCCACUAACAUACUGCCAUGUCACCGAAACAGUACAUAAAAAUUUUAGUCCAAUAGGAUCGUGACACCUCAUCAGUUAAUGUCACGUCAUCGAUCAAUGCCACGUCAUAGUUCCGUAUAUGUGAACAGUGUCGUAAACAGUAAUAUGGACAGUUUCGUACAUGUAAAUAGUGCCAUUUUUUUCUUUUAUGCUCCUCCUAAGAUUUUCGACUGUCCUGAGUUCAAAAGUGUUGUCCGUUUUACUGUCUGAUCUCUCGUUCAUUGUGAAAUGACCAUGAUGCCCCUAAAAUACAUAAAAUACUUAAUUAUAAUACAACACACAUAAUUAAAUCACAAGAGACUUAAAUACAUAAAAGUAGGGAUAUUAGUGAAAUUUGGAGUGUAAAUGACGAUUUUCUCCUAUAUAAAUAUAUAUUUUCUAACACUCAACACACCCCCCAACCAGCUUAUUGCUAGUCCCUAGUAAUUAAAGUGAAAACAAAAUUCAAACCCAAAAUGAUUUUUUUUUAAAAAACUCAUAUUUAUUGAAUCAGACUAAUGAUAGCAAUCAAAUAAAAGUAUAAGCAUUAUCUUUAGUAUAAAGGAAUAUCACUCCCACAUCAACCAUCCACAUGAAUCAGUCAAGUAGACUUUGUCACAGCUACUUUCAAGAAUGAUAUGUGAAACCCCAAAAUCUCAUUGGAAGUAGUGACACUCUCACAAGGAAAUUAAACCCAAUAAAAAUAGUCACUCCAAUGAAUGUUAAAUUUGAGAGAAAAUAAUAAAGAAGUAAUAUCACACGCUCUCACCAAGAUAAAAGAAAUAUGCCCACAACUUAGAAAUAAUACGAUCUUAAGUCAAAUAAAAUGCUAGUCAACCCAAUUUUUUUUUUUAAUGCACCACUACAUCUUUUUAGCUCAUAUAACUAGCUUCUACUUCAGACUAUAGAUCCCUAAAAUAAAGAAGGGCUUUUAUUAGGAUGUAACGUAGUAUAGGAACAUGGUUAACAAAAGAGGGGAAAUAAGGAAAACAAAAUAUAUGUUUGAGAAAAAGUAGAGAGCUUUUGGAAAUUACAAAGUGCAUUUCGCUUAUUUAUUAUUAUUGUUAUUUUUUUCUUUUUCUCUCUUUUUUUUUUGAAACAAAAUUUUUUUGUUUUGUUUUGUCUUUUGUAUGGCACAACUUCACUGAACAAAAUAGUUAUUUACAUUGUUCUCAAACAUAAAUAGGUGAUGAAACUUGUAAGAUAUCAGGUAAUACUCUAAAUCAGAGAUGGUCAAGAGGAUAAGUUGACAAAGAAAUUUUUUUUUUUUUAAUAUAUAUGAAAGGCUCAAAAGGGUUAACUAUGGAUAUUUCACAAAAGGGAUGACUAGAAAAGCUCAAACGGGUCAAAGAUGACCUUUUUAUCAUCUUUUAGGGCUCUAAAUAAUCUUCCAUAUCUACUAGUUAGAUGGACCUUCAGAUGUAGCGACACAUUUUUUUUUCUCUUUUUUUUUUAGAGGAUUGACUCAAAAGAAAUCUAGAGAUCGUGUACAAAAUAAUAAACUGCUAAGCUGUAUGAGGAAUGGGCAAAAAUGGUUACUCUCCAAAAAAAAUGACAGGCUAAAAAAUUCACUUAGUUUUCAUUAUGACAUGUACAUUCCUUCAAGCAACUCAUAUUUGUCUCCGACAUCAACAUGUAGAGUAGCAAACAUGGCGUAACAUCACUUAAGACCAAAGAUAAUACAAAUACUAAAAUUUGAAAGUCAUCAUGUCAUCCAAUGUUAAAAAAAAUCACACAAUUUUUUUUUUUUUUAGGUUCAAACGACAUUCUACCCCCCAACCUAUUCUAAACAUGAAAAUAAAAUAUGCAUGUAGAAAGGUGAAAAUGAUGCAGAAAAACUAAUUAGAAAGGUUACACUUAAAAUGAUAGAAAAAGGAAAUGUUUGAAAUUUUUUUUUUACCUAAGAAGAUGUGUUUCUAGAGUCAUUACACUCAAUAUUCAGCCAUCUUCAAAUCAAAAAUUUGAAAGUAUAUAUUUAUAAAUGAGAAAUUAGAAAAAAGAAGUUAGAAAAAAUUGAUUGUCAAAGCUUAAUAAAGAAAAUGUUUGGAUUUUUUAUUUUUAUUUUUACUUCCAAACCAAGAAGAUGUGUUUCUAGAGUCAUUACACUCCAUAUUCAGCCAUCUUUAACACAAAAAGUUAGUCACGGUUAGUCUCUACAACAAAAAAAAUAAGUAAAAACUUAACCAAGAUUCCACAAUUGUCAACUAUUCCCUCCCCCCAACCAGAAUGAAACAUUGUCCUCAAUGUUUUAAAGGAAAGAAGUAGAGUUUAGAAGACAUUACCUGGGUGGUGCAACACAUAAGAAAAUAUUUACAAGCGGAGAGUUAAAUCUAAUUUACACUUCUUACUGCUGCUACUGUUCCCAUCAUUAUUUGGACACUCCAACACCAAGGUCCUGGGAUCUGGGUCUGGUUGAUAAGCUUGUAACAGAUCAAGUAGCUCAUUAGCAGUAUGAACACAAAUAAAAACGUUUUUCGCUGUGGAAUGAAUGAAAUAGUUUUUUAUUGCAUGGUUAAUAAAUGAGAUGAAGCCAUCAUAAAAAUUAUUGACAUUUAACAAACUAAUCGAUUUUUGGUGAAUGUUCAGAUGGACCCAAGAUGCUAAUGUGAUAAGUGCCUCUAGAGUUGCAAGAUCUCCUGGUAGGAAAAUAAAAGCAUCAAUAUGAUUUAGCAUUUCAUUUAUUCUCUCUUGCAUAACUGAGACUACUAACUCUUCUCCAGUCGGUGAGUCAGACAAACUACGCAAAGGCUUUAAGGCUCUUGGGAUGAUGCCUAACACUUGGCUUCCUCUAACAAAAGCAGCUUCUGAGACCAAUUUUGAUAGCCCUCGGUUACCUCCUCCAUACAAUAAGUGUAAUUUUCUCUCUGUUAUGCUUCGACCAAGAUCUAUGGCUGCCUCAACGAACUCUUUAUGUUUGCCACAGUUAAAUUUAGAAAGCACACAAAUAUUUUUGAAUUGCUUAUUGGGAGUAGCUGCCAUUAGGAUACUUCUAGAAAACAAUGUGUGUGUGCUUAACAAAAAAUCAUUUUUAAAAAUCUUGGUGACAGUGGGUCACAGCUUUGUAUGAGGUAGCAUGUCUGUGUUUAGUAACGCGUAAAGCACAUGGCUCGAGAAUAAAAAAGGAAACAAUAAAAAGGAAAAAAAACAAUGUUAAAAUAAAAUUAUUAAAUACAAUAAUGCAAAUGAUAAAACAACAGUGAAAUAAAACAAUAGUGAAGUAAAAGGAUAUUUACAGGUAGUUGUGACUGUAGCUCACAUCUUCCUCUAGUUUUACGUCUAGAAAUGGCUUGAACGCCCUCUAUGGGUCGAGGAUGGGCUUCCCAUCCAAUUUUCUUAUAAACUGGAAAACAUGGUUAUAAUUAGAUUCCCGAGACUAUAUAGUGCACGCUCUUUCUGGAAUAAUGGCCACAACUGGAGAAUUGCUCCUUGUACAUAUCCACUGGGAUGCGUUUCAAGAGACAAAAGGAUAUCAUCCAAUGAUUAUUUAUUCAAGCCAUCCCUAAUGAAUUGAAUCUUAUAUUCCCUAUUAUUAGACAUCAUUCCUAAAGAACAUCAUUUUUUAUCGCAUCUCAUUCUGGUACACUUAUGACAAGCAACAAAAAGUCUUCGAGCUUUUCGUUUUCUUGUAUUAUUUCCUUUACCACAACCACACAUGUAUGCAAUAAAUUUAGGAGGCAACUCACCUGCCAAUCGUACCUUGGCCUCGAUUAACUAGCGGAUGUCAGCAGGUAUGUUAUUCCUCAUAAGCAAUCGCAUGCGUUCGAACCGAGAUUUAUAGAUUGUAAAGAUUGUGAAGCUUUGCUAAAAUCUUAUUUUUGUCCAUACUUUGCCUUAGAAUAUUAGUUAUUAUGGGAAACUGAAGUAACCGACUUGAUUGUCACGGAGUACUGUUAUUCGCCACUUAACCGGGUAACAAACUAAAGUACACAAACAAAGUAACAAACUAAAACACACAAAGAAAAUUACAAUCAUCCUCUUAUUGAAUUUACCUCAAGCUCCAACUGGAUGUCGAAGAUACCUGCCUCAAUGUCUCUGAGUUGUCUUUCUAAAGCCUCAACAUGAGAUACUAACUCUGGUGGUUGUAGAUCCCAAAUAUGAUGUGUUUUACAAAAUCGAAUCUGGCUUCUGAGAUGAGAUUUUACACAUUCAAGUCGUCUAAGAAGGUCCAAGAGGAUUUGUUUAACUGAGGCACUUAUGCUUAACAAUGAUAAAAUAAAACUUAAUGGUUAAAUAAAUACACUUAUGCAAAAAUAAUUUCAAUUAGCAAAAGAAUAGUAAAAAGAAAGAAAAAAAAAUCAAAUCACCGUAAAGAAAGAAAAAUCUCUAUUCAAAUUUGGUGGGUCACUCAGAUUUAUUUCAGUGUCCUCUCCAUGUUGUUGGUACUCUAGAUAUGCCUUUAAUAUUUGACCAUUAACUUUAAAAGUGACACCGUUCUUUGGAUCCUUAAUUUCAAUUGCUUAAUGUGGAAAAACAGUGUGAAUAAUAAAAUGGCCAGACCAUCGAGAGUGUAACUUACCUUGGAAUAAGUGUAAGCGAGAAUUGAAUAAAAGCACUUUUGACCUGGAGUGAAAGAUUUUCUCAUAAUUUGCUUGUCAUGAAAGACUUUCAUUCGCUGCUUGUAAAUCUUGGCUUUUUCGUAUGCAUCAUUGCGAAUUUCUUCAAGUUCUGCCAGCUGUAAUAUUCUUUCUGAGCUAGCUUGCUACAUGUUAAAGUUGAAUUUCUUGAUGGCCCAGUACGCACGAUGCUCGAGUUCUACAGGUAGGUGGCAAGUUUUUCCAUACACUGGCCUGUAGGGUGACAUCCCAAUCGAGGUCUUGAAAGCCGUUCUAUAUGCCCAUAAUGCAUCAUCGAGUCUUAAUGACCAAUCUUUUCUGUCUGGCUUCACCGUCUUUUCUAAUACGUGUUUUAUUUCUCGAUUAGAGAUCUCAACUUGGCUAUUGGUUUGCCGAUGAUAUGGGGUCGCCACUUUGUGAGUGAUGGAAUAAUUUGUCAAAAGAACUUUGAAUGCUUUGUUACAAAAGUGGGCACCACCAUCACUGAUUAUUGCUCGAGGGAAUCCAAAGCAUGAAACGAUGUUGCUUUUCAAAAAUCCUAUCACCACCUUGUGAUUAUUGGUUCUACAUGGAAUUGCUUCUACUCAUUUUGAUACGUAGUUAACAGCAACCAAUAUGUAUUGAUGGCUAAAAGAAGGGGGAAAGGGUCCCAUGAAGUCGAUACCCCAUACAUUAAAAAUUUCAACCACUAAAAAUGGGUUUAGUGGCAACAUAUUCCUUCGUGUAAUGCUCCCCAUUCGUUGACACCUAUCACAUGAAGAGCAGAAAGUGUAAGCAUAUCGAAAUAUAGUUGGCCAAUAGAAACCACAUUGUAAAACUUUAGUAGUUGUUUUCUUAGCGCUGAAAUGGCCUCCACAAGCUUGUUCAUGAUAGAAUGAAAUUCUUUAUUUCCAUAAAAAAUUUGGCUUUAUCUUGCUUGGUCCAAUGCUCUGGAAGUUGACCUAUAACAAGAUAAUUAACGAUAUCAGAAUACCAUGGUAAUGCUUCCACACUCAUUAAUUAUUCAUCUGGAAGUGAUUUAUUCAAUGGUAAUGGUUCUGUAAUUGUGUUAAAAUUGAGACGAGAGAGAUAGUCAGCCACAACAUUUUCUGUGCCUUUUUUAUCUUUGAAUUCCAAGUCAAAUUCCUGCAAAAGUAACACCCAACGAAUUAGUCUAACUUUUUCAUCUUUCUUUGUGACAAGAUAUUUAAGAGCAACAUGAUCUGUGAAUACAAGUAUUUUACCACCAAUGAGAUAAGAUUGAAAAUUCUCUAAUGCAAACACUACUGUUAAUAUUUCUUUUUCAGUAAUUGAAUAAUUCAACUAUGCAUCAUUCAAUGUCAUACUAGCAUAGUAAAUAAUAUGGGGAUUCGAUCAACUCUGUCCUAAUACUGCUCCUACUACAUAAUCAGAUGCAUCACACAUGAGCUCGAAUGGUAAGCUCCAGUUUGGGGGUUGAAUGAUGGGUGAUGAUAUCAACAAUUGCUUUAGUUUUCUAAAUGCCACAAGACAUGAAUCAUCAAAGAUAAAAUGUACAUCCUUAGCAAGUAGAUUGCAUAAAAGUCUAGAAACUUUGCUAAAAUUCUUAAUGAAACGUCUAUAAAAACCAGCAUGCCCAAGGAAAGAUCUUACUUCUCUAACUGUUUUAGGUGGAGGAAGAAUGGAAAUGAGAUCCACCUUGGCUUUAUCAACCUCAAUACCUUUGUAUGAAAUGAUGUGACCGAGAACAAUACCUUGUUUUACCAUAAAAUGACACUUCUCACAAUUUAAGACCAAGUUUUUCUCUAUACAUCUCUGCAAAACUAGUGUUAGAUGAUGUAAACAUUGAUCGAAUGAAUUACCAAAAAUAGAAAAGUCACCCAUAAAGACUUCAAGGAAUCGUUCAACCAUAUCAGAAAAAAUGCUUAAUAUGCAUCAUUGAAAUGUAGCAGGUGCAUUACAUAAUUCAAAUAGCAUCCUCCUAUAUGCAAAAGUGCCAAAAGGGCACGUGAAAGUGGUCUUCUCUUUAUCUUUUGGUGUUAUAUGAAUCUGAUUAUAUCAUGAGUAGCCAUCUAGAAAGCAAUAAAGUUCAUGGCCUACUAAUCUAUCAAUCAUUUGAUCGAUAAAUGGUAAAAGAAAAUGGUCUUUACAUGUGACAGAAUUCAACUUUCUAUAAUCAAUGCAUACACGCCAUCUUGUAGUCACUCUAGUGGGUAUUAAUUUAUUAUCAGAAUUGGUAACUACUGUGACUUCUGACUUUUUGGAGGACAACUUACACAGGACUGACCCAUGAACUAUUAGAAAUUGGGUAAAUGAUACCUGCAUCUAAUAGCUUAAGGACUUCAGUUCUAACAACUUCCUUCAUGUUAGGGUUCAACCGACGUUGCAUUUCCCUAGUAGGUUUAGCAUUUUCAUCAAGGUGAAUGUAAUGUAUGUAGUCUACUGGGUUUAUACCUUUUAUGUCGGCUAUGGUCCAUCAUAAUGCUCUUUUGUGCUCUUUUAAAACUUCCAACAACUUACCUUUUUGUUCGUCAUUUAGGGAUGAUGAGAUGAUUACUGACAAAGUGUUUUCUUCUCCCAAAAAUGCAUAUUCUAAAGGGUUGGGUAAUUGUUUGAGCUCGAAUUUCGGUGAUGAUUCUAAUGAUGGGUUGAGUUUCUUUUCUGAUGGUGCUAAUUGUUCAACUCUUGACUUCCAUUUAUUAGUAUCUGUUGAUAAAUCUUUUAAUCAAAUGCUAUUGAUGACAAUGUGCAAGUGUACACAACAAGUAAUAAAGUGAUGAAUAUUCAAGAUCAUCUCCAUAGGGAUUGAUGUUACUAGAAAUGUUACAGCAAGCACAAUAGUGCAAUCUAUCUUUAUUCCGGGAUGAACAAAUGUAAAGUUGGUUACUAUUAAAAUUAAUAGUUGUGAGAGAACAAAAUAAAACAAUGCAAUGAUAAAAUAAAUUAAAUAAAAAUGCGUCAAAGAAUCAAAUGAGAAUACGGUAGUUGAAUGAUCAAACUCUCUUUAUGGGCUGACUGUUUUUCACCAAGUUAACACCAGUUGCUACAACAAUUUCUAUAGCACUGGGCAAAAUUUAUUAUGCAUCCUCAGCUGUUGCCUAUUGGAAUCCUCAUAUCCUUAAGUAUCUUAGCAAUGACCAGUUACUAUUCUACCUACGGCAUGACAUUAUGAACAUUCAUUCUCUCCACCCUACAAGGUGAGUACCUAUGUCUAGUUUAUCACAAAUCUUAACUUCAAGUAUGGCCCUUAUGGGAUUCAAGAUAAACUUAAUACAAGAAACUUAAAUUAAGAUCAAGUAUUACUCUAAUAAUAUCCACUAAGACAUGCCAUUUUGCGGCUCUAUCUUAACUUGAACCAUUAAAUGGGUGGUCAACCAAAAUAACAGUUAUAAUAAUAGCUACUAGAGUAAAAUGCUACAGCAAUGAUAUAACAACUCAUAAGAACAGUCAAGAACUCAUUAGAUUGUUUGUCACUCAACUACAAGCAAGUUAAGUUCAUGUUCUUAAAGAGAAAAACAAACAACAACAUAUUGGUCAUGAAAUACAUUAUUUCAGUCAAAGAGUGAAGAAAAGGAUAAGUUGAGAACGGCAAAGAGUGAAUCCAAAUAACUCUGCUAGAUUCUUCAAUGAUGCUGCAUCUGCUCCCUUGAAUUCUGAUCUUCCUCUUCUUUUUCUCUCCAAUUUCUCCAAAUAAUUCCUUGCCGCCGUUUUAUGUGAUGCGCGCCUCCUUUUAUAACUGAAAACUAGAGUAAACAAAAGCUUCGGGCGUACAUGAGUCAAAUUAGAAAACUGCAGAUCGCAAUUCUGCAGCUGACCCGAGCUAAGUUUUCUCCUUCGGUGUUCUAGGAUUGCUACAGCAAUGGUCGCUUCAGUAAUGGCUAUAAUACUGCACUGUUCCCGGUUGUGUUUCACUUCUUUUGUGGCCAUAUUCUUUCUUCUUCUUGCUAGCCUAAUAUCUCAGCAUCCUUUCAUAUAUUAUAAACUUCUGAAAACCUAUAAUUAUGCACAUGUUUUGAGCACAAGUUACUUUAAAUCUAGCAAAACUUAUUAAGACUAAACUAAAAUGGAUGUUUAUGCAAAACAUAACCAAAGUAUAAUAAAAACACAUCAUUUACUCUUUAAGUGGUAUUGAUUUAAGUCUAGAAUUGCCGUAAUAACUCUCUUUUCAUAAAGUUAUCAGUGUCCAUGAAUGGUACUGAGUCAAGUAGGGCGUUGACCUCAUCGACUAAACUGUCAAUAUCAAAAUCCAAACCAAAGUGAAUUAAACAUGUUUGUAAAGGGUCAUCACUAAGGUUUGAAAGAAAAGUAUUAUCAACUAAUGCUUCUAUUAAAUCCACAUCAACAAUUCCAUCAUCUGCAUUGUGAGGUUGUUUGGCAAUGUUGAAGAUGUUUAGCUCCAAAGUCAUGUUGCCAAAGGACAAUUGCAUAUUUCAAGUCCUGCAUUGAAUGUGAGUAUUGACAGUUGCCAAGAAAGGUCGACCUAGGAUAAUGGGGAUGUGCUUCCUUGAAUCCUGGAUUGGUUGAGUGUCAAUUACAAUGAAAUCAACAGGAAAAUAAAACUUCUCUACCUGGAUAAGCACGUCCUCCACAAUACCACAAAGUAUUUUCAUGAACCGAUCUGCAAGCUGUAACACCACUGGAGUUUGGUGUAAUUCUCCCAGUCCAAGUUUUAUAAAUACUGAAUAGGGUAACAGAUUUACACUAGCUCAUAAAUCCAACAAAGCAUUCUUAAUUAUGUGGUUCCCUAUACUACAUGAGAUAGUGAGGGAGCCUGUGUCUUUGUAUUUUAGAGUAAUUUUGUGUUGGAGUAUAGAACUAACGUUUUCUGUUAAAAAGACCUUCUUUUGAACAUGAAUAUUUCUCUUUUUAGUACAAAGGUCUUUAAGAAACUUGGCAUAAAAUGACACUUAUUUUAUAGCAUCAAGUAAAUGGAUGUUAACACUUACUUGUUUGAAGAUUUCAAAAAUCUCACCUGUGGAUUUUCCCUUCUUUCCUUUAGCUAACUUCUGAGGAAAUUGAGCUUUAGGAACGUAUUCUCGCGGGUUGGUUUCUUCUUUCUCCUCCGAUAAUGAGUCUUCAACAUUUACAGGUACAAUUUGAUUUUUUUUUGUCACCAGCAUCUCCACUUUGUUGUUGACUUCUUUUCAUUUUCGCAAGGUCAUGACGGCUUUUACCUCUCUAUUCUGCCAUGGUGAACUGGUACUUGCUUCAUGCACUUCUUUAGGAUUAGGCACUGGUUGACUUGGAAAUUUAUCUUUCUCAACAGUUAUUGCCAGAGUUUGAACUGACAAGGCAAGUUGUCCCACCAUCUUCUCGAGGUUUGAAACUGAUUGGACUGUGAAUUGAAGCCUACUCUCAUUUCAUUUUGUAGUUCAUCAAAGGUGUGGUUCUGUUGCUCAAUCGUGGAGUGAGUAAGAUUCUCAAAAUUUUGGAUUGCAUCCUCCCAUGGUCUGGGUUGAGAGUAGUUCUGGUUAUGAUUGUAUGAUCUAAAUAGUGGCUGAGAGACUUGAGGAACUUGAGGAAUUGGUUGCAUUGGUAGAGCUGGAGCUACUGGUCCAAUCUGUUGGAAUCCCCGGCAACGGCGCCAAAAACUUGUUGUGCAAAUUUUAUUGAACACGCAAGUGCGCAAAUCUAUUGUAGAAUAGAUUAAUGGUGACGAGUGUCAGUCCCACGAGGAUGUUGAUUUUAAUUAUGUCUAAAAUUAAUUUUCUAAGUGGGUGGUUGGAUUUGUGGUGAAAAUGAUUUGGAAUAUUCUAAAAUUUAAAUUAGAAUGGCGGGAAUAAAUUAAAGCGAAAUAUAUUGAAAUGAAGCACUUGGGUGUCUAGAUCUACAUCAACAUGUACCAUGGGCUAAAUAUUCUUUAAUAAUGCCAAUUAAAUCAUGAGGGGGUUUUCCACUCCUCAUGAAUCACACUCUAAUCAAUAUGGUGCUAAGGGCUUAUCAUGCCAAAUAGUAAUAACAUUGCACUAGGAAGCCGGUUAUACCAAUGCGGUAUCUAGAUAAGAUUAUUACUAUCUGUCGACAAAAAGUCAAAACAUCCACAUAAAUUAGAGGGAAAGAGAAAGUAAAUUUACCAAAUAAAGCCCAUGGAACAUGUUAAGACUUCACCUUCAACCCAAGCUUUAAAGGAAAAUUGGCUACUCAUAAUUGAACUAGGAGUAAAAUGGAAAUUUAUUAAAACACGUAGAAAAUACAAGAUGGAGAAGGAAUUACAGAAAAUAGAGCUAAAAAAUGAAUUCAAGGGUCUCAAAUUAGAGGGGGGGGAGCCCUCUUUUUAUAGAUAUACUGAUUAAAUCAUGGCCAUUGGAUUAAAAACAAUUUGGACGCUCAGGAUUGUGCCACGUGUCAACAGUACGCGGUUUGACUACAUGGUUUGAAUAGUGACGCGGCUUGGUUAUAAAUAAUUCCGUGUAUUUGCAUGUAAUGUACGCACGAUUUUUGGUCCACUAACACGCUGCCACGUCACCGAUCAAUAGUAGAUAAGAAUUUUAGUCCAAUAGGAUCGUGACACCUCAUCAGUCAAUGUCACGUCAUCGGUCAAUACCACAUCAUCAUUCCGUAUAUGUGAACAGUGUCGUGAACAGUAACAUGGACAGUACCGUACAUGUGAAUAAUGUCAUAUUUUAUUUUAUGGUCCUCCUAAGAUUUUCGACUGUCUUGAGUUCAAAAGUGAUGUCUGUUUUGCUAUUUGAUCUCUCGUUCAUUGUGAAAUGACCGUGAUGCCCCUAAAAUACAUAAAAUACUUAAUUAUAAUACAACACACAUAAUUAAAUCACAAGAGACUUAAAUACAUAAAAGUAGAGAUGUAAGUGAAACUUGGAGUGUAAAAUGACGAUUUUCUCCUUUAUACAUAUACACUUUCUAACACUCAACAUCCAUCUACAAAUCUACAAUAAUAACCAGCCAAUCCAAGGAAACUCCGAACCUCUGUGACAUUUGUAGGUCGUUCCCAAUUCACAACAACUUCGAUCUUGUGAGGAUCGACAUAAAUUCCUUCAGCUGAUAUCACAUGGCGCAGAAAUACUACUUUAUCCAACCAGAACUCACACUUGUUGAACUUGGCGUACAAUUGCUUUUACCUUAAAGUCUGCAAAACAGUUCGCAAAUGUUCUGCAUGUUCCUCUUGGUUUCGAGAAUACACCAAAAUAUCAUCAAUGAACACAAUCACAAACCUACCCAGAUAAGGGCGAAACACCCUAUUUAUAAGAUCCAUAAAAGCUGCUGGAGCAUUUGUUAACCCAAAUGGCAUCACCAAGAACCCAUAGUGUCCAUAAUGGGUUCUGAAUGUUGUUUUAGGUGCAUCGACCUCUUUAAUUCUAAGCUGAUGAUAUCCCGAGCGCAAAUCAAUCUUAGAAAACACCUUCGCUCCCUGAAGUUGAUCAAACAAGUAAUCAAUAUGCGUAAGUUGAUAUUUAUUACGUACUGUAACUUUAUUCAACUGCCUAUAGUCAAUGCAGAGUCUAAGAGUACAAUUUUUUUUCUUAACAAACAAAGCUGGAGCUCCCCAUGGAGACACACUAGGUCUAAUAAACCCUUUAUCUACCAAUUCUUGCAGUUGAAUCUUAAGUUCCUUUAGUUCAGCUGGAGCCAUCCUAUACGGUGCUAUAGAUAUAGGAGUCGUCCCAAGGACUAAAUCAAUAGAAAACUCAAUCUCUCUGUUAGGUGGCAUCCUUGGAAGUUCAUCUGGAAAUACAUCUGGAAACUCCUGGACUACUGGAAUAUCCUCCAAUCUCGACUCUCGAAUUUCAGUGUUUAUCACAUGUGCAAGAUAAGUUGAGCAACCUUUUCUUAGUAACCGUCUUGCACCAAUGGCCGAUAUGACACAUGAGGGUAAAACGCUACGCUCACAACAAAAUUUCACCUCAGCUUCUCCUGCCUUAUUGAACACAACUUCUUUUUUGGAACAAUCCACAGUAGCAUGGUGAGAUGCAAGCCAAUCCAUGCCCAAAAUGGCAUCGAAAUCUCGAAUAUCUAAAAUAAUUAAAUUUUCUGACACGACUCAAAAGUGUAUUACUCCCAAGUAUAAGAUUGUCUAGUUACAAUAUAACCCAGUGAGUCCGGGGUCGAACCACAGGGAAUUUUAAAAUCUAGUUGUCAAUUUGUUAAACAAAGAAAAUAAAUUGUGGGAAAAUAAAUUAUUUGAAAACAAUUUAAAAAUAUGCUAAGGUUACGGGAUCCACUCUCAGUAUUCAAACUAUAAUUUUAAUACUCUCUCAUUUAUAUUUUGCCUCACUUUUACCAGUUAAUUAUUAUAUCAUUUAAUUCUAUGUGUGUGGAUAAAUAUGGAAUAAAGUACCUAAUGUGCCACACUAUAUUAAUGUGUCAAUAUUGUGUCAAAAUGCCAUACAAAUCCUAAAGAAAUUUAUAAAUUAACAUGACAUAAAAAUAACUAGAAAAGAACAAAAUAAACUUUAAAACUCAUUUGAGAAAAUAAUAAAUUUAAUAGUUUGAAACAUUGAACUUCACCCUUCACCUCAGCUUAAUAAAAUUAGCCACUCAUAUUGAAAGAAAACACAACACUAUUUAUUUGAUAAACUUUUAAAAUAUGUUAUAAGAAAGUUGAUUACAACAAAAGAAGAAAAAGACACAAUUUCUCAGUUGCACUCUAUUCUAUUUCGGCUUAAUGUUGCGGACCGCCCAAUUCGCUAGCCCAAUUGCCCACAAUUUCGGGCUAGAGAGCCAACACAAGGCCAAGAGUGCUAGCUUGGCCCAAUUCCGGAAACUUCUAGGCAACUCUAGCACAUUUGAGCUUGUAAAUACUCUAGAAUUCUUCAUAGAAUUCCAGCACAUGUAAAUAGCUAGGAAAUGGUAGAAUUCUCUAGAAUUUCUAGAGCUUGGCAAGCCUCCCCUAUAAAUAUGGGAUGGCAUUAGGCAUUUGUAUCCAACAAACACUACAACAAGCAUUGUAAUCUCUCUUUGUGCAAUACAAUUUCUCUUAUUCAGCUCCAUUGCUUUCUUCUCUAGUUCGAGAAGCUCUAGGCUUACUUAGCAACAUUCGGAAAAAUUGUCUAAGUGCCGCACAGGUUAGCUGCGCAAAAUACUCAUCUCGUGACAAGUGGUAUCAGAGCUAAGGUUUGCACACACGCAAGUUAGCUCACGAGCAAUGGCCAACCCUUCGAACGUAGCACAAGAGGGUGUUGUUGGUGUGGAUGUUCCACCGGAACCAAGCCGCGGCCGAGAGGGAGAACGCGCCCAAGGCAAGACUCGCAGCAAGUCCAAGGCCCCAUCCGUGGAUGCAUUGGAGCCUCGUGUGACUACUCUCGAAAUCGCUUUGUCCACCGCUCAAGAUAGCCUCGAGGGAUUGGAGGAAAGGGUGGACGGUCUCGAGGGGGAAUACGCCGAGUUCACGGUGGCAACCAAAGCUCUCAUCCAAGAGCAAGCGAACACUCUCCGAGGUGAGUUUCGUUCCUUCCACGAUGAGUUGCUCAAACUUCGUAGUUUUGUUCAGGAUGAACUACGCGCUGUCCGUGCGGAAGUGGAUGAAGUCCGCUCGGAUUGGGCAUGGCACAAGCGCACACUCUCCGCUAGUCCAGCUUCCGCAAACUCGAGUGAUGCACGCCGCAUUGACGUGCCAAAGCCCGACACAUACGAUGGCACACGUAAUGCCACCAUCGUGGAUAACUUUCUAUUUGGGCUUGAUCAAUACUUUGAUGCCAUGGGUGUUCGAGAUGAGGCUUCGAAAGUGGGCACUGCACCCACCUAUCUUAGAGGCGCUGCACAACUAUGGUGGUGUCGCAAGCAUGGCGAGAUGGGCAAGGGCAUUUGCACCAUCGACACUUGGGCUGACUUCAAGCAAGAACUCCGAAAGCAGUUCGCCCCAAGCAAUGCGGAGAAGGAAGCGCGAGCGCGCUUACGUCGCCUCAAACAAACAAGUAGCAUUCGGGACUACAUCAACGAGUUCACUACCCUUAUGUUGGAAAUAAGCGACAUGUUCGACAAAGAUUCACUCUUCUACUUCCAAGAUGGCCUCAAGGAUUGGGCCAAGACCGAGCUUGAUAGGCGUGAUGUUCAGACACUUGACGAUGCCAUCGCCGUUGCGGAAUCGCUCACCGAAUACUCUACCCAAUCCAAGGACAAAAAGGCCAACCAAGGCAAAGGUGGGGGAGAGAGUCGCAAGGACAAGGGUAACAACCGCAAAGAUUGGGGGGCAGAAAAAGCCGCCUAGCAACAAGAGCGGGCAAGGAAAAUCGGAGGGCAAGAAGGAGGCGCCAAAGCCGCGAAGCCCAUGCUUCAUAUGCAAUGGUCCUCAUUGGGUACGCGACUGUCCGGAGAAAAGGUCGCUCAAUGCUCUUUCUGCCCAACUUAAGAGCAACCCCACAAUGUCCACGGAGGAACCCCAACUCAACAUGGGUUCUCUCUAACGCCUCGGCGCACUCAAUCGCCAACAGCCCGCACUCAUCAAGAAAGGGCUCAUGUAUGUAAGCGCAAAGGUAAACGGUCAGUCCGUUCGCGCGCUGCUAGACACGGGAGCUACGCACAAUUUCGUGUCCGUAGACGAAGCCAAGCGCUUAGGCCUCAAGACCACCAAGGAAGGAGGCACGAUGAAGGCUGUGAACUCACCCGCCAAGCCAAUUGGGGGAAUCGCACAAGGCGUGUACAUUACACUUGGUACGUGGAGCGGGAAGCUUGACUUCUCCAUUGUGCCCAUGGAUGACUUCAAGAUGGUCCUCGGCAUGGAAUUCUUCAACCAAGUCCAUGCCUUCCCGCUGCUCGCUACAAACUCCCUAAGCAUCCUCGACGGGAGCAAAGCAUGCAUGGUACCCACGGAGCGAGGCAAGUCCGAGGAGAAGACACUCUCCGCCAUGCAAUUCAAAAGGGCUUUUAAGAAGGACCCAAGCUUCUUGGUCUCCAUCCGGGAACUAAACGAGGAAGGAAAUAGCGGAACGUCACCAAGCCAAGUCCCUCCGCGAAUUCAAGCCGUCCUCAAUGAGUACAAGGACGUGAUGCCUCCAGAACUUCCGAAGAAGCUCCCACCUCGACGAGAGGUAAAUCAUGCGAUCGAGAUGGAACAAUGUGCGAAGCCACCAGCCUUGGCGCCCUACCGCAUGGCGCCACCCGAAUUAGAGGAGUUGCGGAGACAACUCAAAGACUUGCUGGACGCAGGCUACAUUCGCCCCUCAAAGGCCCCAUUCGGUGCACCCGUGCUCUUCCAAAAGAAAAAGGAUGGAUCGCUGCGGAUGUGCAUAGACUAUAGAGCGCUCAACAAGAUCACCAUCAAGAACAAGUAUCCAAUUCCCUUGAUCGCGGACUUGUUUGACUAGCUUGGCAAAGCGCGGUACUUCACCAAACUUGACUUGCGCUCCGGGUACUACCAAGUGCGCAUCGCCAAGGGAGACGAACCGAAGACAGCGUGCACAACAAGGGACGGGUCUUUUGAAUUCCUUGUGAUGCCUUUUGGCCUUACUAAUGCACCCGCCACAUUUUGCACGCUCAUGAACAAGGUGCUCCAACCAUUUCUUGACCGCUUCGUGGUCGUGUACUUGGACGACAUAGUGGUGUAUAACACCACGCUCGAGGAUCAUGCCCAACACUUGCGACAAGUCCUCCAAGUACUCCGAGACAACGAGCUCUUCCUCAAAUUGGAGAAGUGCUCAUUUGCUCAACAAGAAGUGGAGUUCCUUGGCCAUAAGAUUGCGGGCGGAAAGAUCAUGAUGGAGAACGUCAAAGUAAAAGCCAUCCUCGAUUGGGAGCCUCCCUCGAAAGUGCCCGAGCUUCGCUCAUUCCUUGGGCUGGUGAAUUACUACCGCCGCUUCAUCAAGGGCUAUUCGGCCAAGGCGGCACUCUUGACGGAUAUGCUCAAGAAAAACAGAACGUGGCAUUGGUCCGAAGAGUGCCAACGCGCAUUCGAAGAGUUGAAGAAGGCAAUUUCGGAGGAACCCGCCCUCGCUCUUCCGGACCACACUAAACCCUUUGAAGUCCAAACGGAUGCCUCGGAUUUCGCCGUAGGAGGAGUCCUUAUGCAAGAAGGCCACCCCAUAGCGUUCGAGAGUCGAAAGCUAAAUGACACGGAACGCCGCUACACGGUGCAAGAAAAGGAGAUGACCGCAAUCAUACAUUGCUUGCGGGUGUGGCGACAUUACUUGCUCGGCUCUCACUUCACGAUUAUGACAGACAACGUGGUGACAAGCUACUUCCAAACACAAAAGAAGUUGAGUCCGAAGCAAGUACGGUGGCAAGAUUUCCUUGCAGAAUUCGACUAUCAGCUCGAGUACAAACCGGGUAAAGCCAAUGUCGUUGCGGACGCUCUAAGCCGCAAGGCCGAAUUGGUGACACUUAGCAUGAGCCAACCGAAGUCCGACCUUGUCUCACGCAUCAAGGAAGGCCUCCAACAAGAUCCGCUAGCAAAGGACUUGCUGGAGAAGGUGCUCGAGAGAAAGACAAGGCACUUUUGGCAAGAGGAAGGCAUCCUCCUCACCAAGGGAGACCAGCUGUUUGUGCCAAGGUGGGGAAGGAAGUAAUCAAGGAGUGCCAUGACUCCAAGUGGGCUGGUCACCCAGGAAUCGAGCACACCACUGCACUAGUUCAAGCCUCAUAUUUUUGGCCACACAUGAGGGACGACAUCGAGGCAUAUGUGCGAACUUGUCUUGUGUGCCAACAAGACAAAGUGGAUCAUCAACUACCAGCGGGAUUGUUGGAGCCGCUACCACUAGCAACAAGGCCAUGGGAAAGUGUCUCCAUGGACUUCAUCACAUCGCUGCCCAAGUCCGAAGGUUACGGUAGCAUCAUGGUCGUUGUCGACCGAUACAGCAAGUAUGCCACAUUCAUUGCCGCACCAAUCAAUUGCAAAGCGGACGAGGCAGCCCGCCUAUUCGUCAAGCACAUUGUGAAGCUUUGGGGAGUUCCGAAGAGCAUUGUGAGCGACCGAGACCCUCGGUUCACUGGGCGUUUUUGGACAAAACUCUUCAAAAUGUUGGAGACCGAUCUCAAGUUCUCAACAAGCUUUCACCUACAAACGGAUGGGCAGACCGAGCGCAUCAAUGGCCUCCUCGAGAUGUACUUGAGGCAUUAUGUGAGCGCUCAUCAGCGGGAUUGGGCAAAGCUACUCGACAUCGCCCAAUUUUCUUAUAACUUGCAGCGAAGUGAGGCUACGGGCAAGAGUCCAUUUGAGAUCAUCAUGGGAUUCCAGCCUAUGACCCCCAAUGCCAUAGCCUCGACUUACGGAGGGAAAAGCCCCGCGGCACACAAGCUCGCUCGCGAAUGGCACGAGGAAGCGGACAUCACGCGAGCCUACCUUGACAAAGCCGCGAGGAAAAUGAAGAAAUGGGCGGAUACAAGGAGACGACAUGUUGAGUACAAGGAAGGUGAUCAAGUCAUGAUCAACCUCCUACCCCAACAAUUCAAGACGUUGCGGAAAGUCCACAAGGGGUUAGUGAGGCACUACGAGGGACCCUUCCGAGUUGUUCGACAUGUGGGCAACGUCUCGUAUCAACUCCAACUUCCGCCAAGACUCAAGAUCCAUCCGGUCUUCCAUGUGAGCCUUCUCAAGCCAUAUCACGAAGACAUGGGAGAACCAAGUCGCGGAGAAUCGAGGCGCGCGCCAACUGCCGUUGUCACCGCGUUCGACAAAGAUGUAGACUACAUCAUUGCGGACCGCAUGGUUUCGAGGAGAGGCGUGCCAGCACAUAGCGAGUACUUGGUGAAGUGGAAAAAGCUCCCCGAGAACGAAGCCACUUGGGAACGUGAAGAAGAUUUGUGGCAAUUCGCUGAGCACAUCCAGAGGUUCAAGCACGAGAGCGCGACGAGGACAUCGCGAGCUUAGGUGGGGGAGGAUGUUGCGGACCGCCCAAUUUGCUGGCCCAAUUGCCCACAAUUUCGGGCUAAAGAGCCAACACAAGGCCAAGAGUGCUAGCUUGGCCCAAUUCCGGAAACUUCUAGGCAACUCUAGCACAUUUGAGCAUGUAAAUACUCUAGAAUUCUUCAUAGAAUUCCAGCACAUGUAAAUAGCUAGGAAAUGGUAGAAUUCUCUAGAAUUUCUAGAACUUGGCAAGCCUCCCCUAUAAAUAUGGGAUGGCAUUAGGCAUUUGUAUCCAACAAACACUACAACAAGCAUUGUAAUCUCUCUUUGUGCAAUACAAUUUCUCUUAUUCGGCUCCAUUGCUUUCUUCUCUAGUUCGAGAAGCUCUAGGCUUACUUAGCAACAUUCGGCAAAGUUGUCUAAGUGCCGCACGGGUUAGCUGCGCAAAAUACUCAUCCCGUGACAUUAAGCUCUCUCUGUUCAGCUCUCUAACUUCUCAAUACUCAGCUCUUUGCAUUUCCUUGCCUUUUAUAGGCAAGGAAUGCAUUAUCUUUAUUUAUUUUAUUAUUAUUAUUAUAUAUAUGUACAUUGAAAUGUGUAAUGGUCAAGUGGCCAUGACCAUCACGAGAAACUAAAUUGCUUGGUUUUUUUUUUUUAUUCAUUUUCAUUUUUUUAUUUUUUAUUUUUUUACAUCUCCUCAAUAAUGCUUCCAAAUUGCUCCAGCAAUCCUUCUUUGUUCCCGCUUUCAAUUCUAAUUUAUUCUUGAAAAAUAUUUAUAAGAUAAAAAUUAACAGAUUAUGAAUUAAUUUAACACAAAAAUUUAUUUGGGGAGCAUUCAUAUAAUUUAUAGGUUAUGCGUGCAUUAAUCAACACUUUAAGUGAAAAACUAAUAAUUUUAUCCUUAUUACACGUACACAUUUUAGUGUUAAUCACAGCCCCCUCCCCAACCAGCUUAUUGUUAGGCCCUAGCAAUUUAAGCGAUAAAAAUUUAGAGAAAUUUCAAAACCAAAUUGAAAAUCUUUUUUUUUUUUUGGAAAAAUUGUGUUUACUUCUUUCAUCAGAUUAAUGACAACAAUCAAAUAAAAGUAUAAGUAUUAUCUUCAGCCUAAAGAAAAUCACACCCACAUAAAUCAGUUAAGUAAAAUCAUGUAAAAUGAUCAAUUAUCAGAGCUACAUUAAUCAAGCCACUUUAAGUAAAAUUUAUGAUGUUAUCAUUAUUAAUGUUUGGUCCACAACAGCGCGAUAAUGAUAUUGAUGUGUACUUGGCACCACUAAUAGAGGACUUGCAAACUCUAUGGGAUGUUGGUGUGGAAGCUUAUGAUGCCUACAAAAAAAUAGUUCUUUAAUUUACGGGCUGUGCUAUUGUGGACUAUAAAUGGUGGAAAGCUCAAUGAAGAUAUAAUCUAUGAUGAUUUGCGAAAUUAAAGGUCAAUAUAUGUUGUGUGCACUUAUUUAUGCUUCCAAAGAUUACCAAAAAUAAAUUGGAUUUGAGUUUAUAUAGUUUGAGCCCAAAAACUAGCCAUUAUGGAUUUUCUAAUGAUAACCGGCUUGCCGCUUUUGGAAUCCGGUUAGCCGCUUUUAUGUUACCGUUACAACAAAUAUUUGAAUUUUACAACAUCCAGCAUUCCACUUUCAAAAUUCGGUUAGCCUUUUGCAAAAGUGAUUGCUACAGUGAACUAUUUUAUAAAAUUAUAGUUUUGACCCAAAACUUUAUAGAAUUAUGAUAUGGCCCAAAACGUCAUAAAACUUUACACAAAGGUCUAAUAAAAAAUAAUUUGAGCUUUUAAAAACUUAAUCAUUCUUAAUUUUAUUUUUUAUCAUCAAAAUCAACAUUAUGGAAACAUAUAUGUUAACAAUCUUCCCAUUUUUUAUGACGACAAACCUUUUAUGUAUUUAAAGAAUGAUUACACAAAUUGCUCCCCCUAAAUGUAAACUUCUCUUACAAUUUAGCUAAAUUAACAAAUUUAAAUACAUGUAUUCUUCUCCCCCUUCAUCAUUAAAAAGAAAACUUAGUGGAAAAAUAAAAAAGAGUAACAAAUUUGUUAUAUAUGUUGUCCGAGUAGAAAUUUCGAUAGAAUCUCCCUCUAACAACAAACAUUACCUUAAAUACAAGUUUAAUAAUAUUACUCCCAAAUUAUUAUAAAUAAUGAUACAAUCCAACUCCAUAUACAAAUCAUCACACAAUCCAUCAACCAUAAAAAGAUUAUGAACCAUUAUUCCAUCAAUUACCAAAUCAACAACUCAUAACAUAAAAUUAUCAUAUAAAACAACUAUGUAAUCAAAUCAUCAUCAUAUCCCAAAAUCAUCAAAAUCAUCACCAUAAUCACAUAUCAAUCAUCAAAACAAUACUCAAAGUGCAUAUUAUUGUCUUUCUUUUGACAACAUCGAAAUGAUGUGUUACUUUGUCUCCCCCUUUGGACAACAAAAAAAUUCAAAAUGCAUAUUAUCCAAAAUCAUAUUGUAUGCUCCCCCUAAAUAUAUGGCCAAUUUAAAAUUUUAACCAAAAUAAUUUUAUCCAAAAACAUAUCAUAUUUAUCUCCCCCUUCAUUGUAAAAAAGAAAAGAUAGAUAGAUGCAAUCAAAACAAUAUCAUAAAAAAUAAUUCGAUGAAGAGAUUACCCAUUUUGUGCGAGCAAAAAUUUCGGCAGAGUCUCCCCUUAAAAAUGAAAAAAUCCUCAAAUACACAAAAUGGUUAAAAACACUUCCAUAUAAGCUUAAACAAUUAUAACAAAUCAACAACUCCAUCAAUUCAUCAAGCAACACACAUAAUCAUCAAUCAUUAAAAUCAUCAAGAAAUCAAAUCAUCCCAAGUUCGUGUCGAAUUUUUUAAAAAUGUUCUUCGCAAAAAGGUUUUGAUUUGUUUACCAAAUUGGCAUGCAAAAGUUAUAAAAACGUAUUAUAAACUAUCCAAGCUCCAUAAUUACUAAUCACAUUUUAGAAAUCAAGACAACUAAACUCAUCAAAGAUCUAAUGUGACAUUUCAAUAUAACUUAAAAAAUCUUAUAUGCUUAAAAUUCUCGAAGUAAAUGUAUUUUUCUCCUUUUCGAUAUCAUUUAAAACAAGUAAUGCACAUUCAACAAUACAUCGAUAAAGUACAAAAAAUGCAUCCAUUCACCAAUCAUAGAUUGCAUAAGAUCAAACUUCAUCAAAUACAAUGUAAUCAUCAAAGCACAUUCUUUAUCAUCAAAACAUAAGUAAAGCAUAAGUACAUAAUGACAAUAUAUAGAUCAUCAAAAUUAACAUAUGGCAAUAUAUAGAUCAUCAAAAUAAACAUAGCUAUUAAGAAAAGCCAUCAUUAUGAGUAAAGAACAAGUGCUCAAAUCCAUUAUUACAAAUGCUCACAUAGGCCAAUUUAAUGAAUGAUGAUAUAAUACAAUAAAUGACAUAUGAAUUCACACAUACAUAAGUGAUGAACAAAUAAGGAAGAUGAAUAAAUAACACGAAACAUGAUGAUAGACAAUUUAAAAGAUGAAAUCAAGGAUCAUACAAUCAUCAAAAUCAAACAAAGGCAUCAUGAUAAGUUGCCAUACUACCAUCAUAUAUAUCUAUCCAUGCAUCAUGAUUACACACAAUAAUAAUUCAAUUAUGUAAACGUACGAGCAUGCUUUCGUAAAUUCAAGCUAUUAUCCAUCCAUCAUGAUCCAUUCAACCAAAUCAAAAUGGUAAGAAUUGUUACCAAAACAAUUAAAUCAUUUUACUUAUCGUUUUCUCUUAGAUCAUGAUCAAGUGAUUAUUCUCACAAGCUUUCAUUGAAGAACUCUCCACCAUUUCUUGAUUAUGGUACCUACAAAAAAAAAUAUUCUAGUUGUGCCUUUUGAUACCCAAAUACUCUUGGGUCUUUGAGUGUUAGUAAUGAUUCCUUUUGGAACUCCAAUACAUUUUGCUCCAUAAUAUGCAUUUCUUUUAACUGGACACCUAUUCUUCAUGUGACCAUUUUGAUUGCAAUGGUGGCAUACAACUUGAUUGUUAAUGGAGGUACUCUUCACAAAAUAAUUCUUAUAAUACUUUUGUUUCAAAUUUGGCUUAUAGCCAAUACCUCCUUUGUCAAACACACAUUUUUGUGAAUUAAGCAAGUUAUCCAACAUUUUUUGCCCAUUUGUAAAUUUUAAGACAACAUCACUAAGUUCAAUAUUCUUUUUCUUAAGCAUCUCAUUUUCUUUUUUCAAAUCAUCUACAUGUGAUUCUAUAUGUUCAUGUAAAGUGCUAGGUUUCCCAUUUGAUAAUGCAACUCUAUCAUGCAAUGUUUUAUUUUCUAAUUCUAGGCAACUAAUCUUUGCACUUAGAGAUUCAUUUUUAUUUGUGAGUUCUACCGUUUUCUUUUUAAGACAUGCAUUCUUUUUACCAACUUUCAUCAAUUCAUCAUACAAUUCUUUAAGAGCAUCAUAUAACUCAUCAUAAGUAGGAAGAUUAUUUACCUCAUCAAGUUCAUCAUCUCCUAUUGCCAUAAGUGUUAGGUUUGACACUUCUUGGAAAUCUUCUUCAUCACUCGAUUCUUCAUCGCUAUCGUCCCAAGUAGCCACCAUGGCUUUCUUCUUGAGUUUGUUGAGAAGUGGAACACUCCAAUCUUAUAUGGCCAUGCUUUUUGCAUUCAAAACAAACAAUUGCCUUUUUAUUCCCUUUCUCCACCUUAAGGUUUUCUCUCAUGAGAUCUUUAAAGUUUCUUCUCUUGAUUUGCUUUUUAAAGAUCCUUCUAAACAUUCUAGCAAUCAUCUCAAUGCCUUCAUCUUUAAAGUUACUUCCAUCAUCAUCACUUUCAACUAUAGAAGAUUUAAAAGCAAAACUCUUCUUCUUUUUAUCUUCAUCAAUUCUUUCAUUAGUUAUAUCUUCUUCAUAUGAAAUAAGUGAACCAAUAAGAUCAUCAAGUGAUAAAGUAUUAAAACUUUUUGCUUCUUCUAUGUCCGUUCUCUUUGGUCUCCACUAUUUUGGCAAUGAUCUAAUAAUUUUUUUUUUACUUUUUUCACUAUUAGUAAAUAUGUUACCUAGUGCUUCAAGAGAAUUCACAAUAUCGAUGAAUCUAGUGUACAUAUCAUGAACACUCUCAUAUGAUUCCAUUUGAAACAUCUCAUAUUGCCUAGUGAAUCUACUAAUUUUACACUCCUUGACUUGAUUUGUUCCCUUAUAUACAACUUCAAGUUUCUUCCAAAUUUCAUAAGCAUUUUCACAACUAGAAACUCUAUGAAAUUCUUUCUUAUCGAAAGCACAAAAUAAUGCAUUCAUUGCCUUGGAGUUUAACGAUAUCUUUUUCUUUUCUAAUUCACUCCAAUGACUUGAAGGUUUUGGAAUAUCAUCUCAUGCUUCAUUUUUAGUCAUAGGCAUGAACGGACCAUCACAAAUAACUUCCCAAAUUUCGUAAUCUAAGGCUUGCAAAUAAAUUCUCAUCCUAGUUUUCCAAUAAGGAUAGUCAUUACUAUUAAAGAAUGGAGGUCUAGUGGUAGAUGGGCCUUCCAUGAAGGUUGAGCUAAUUUGGGUUGCUAUGGAUCUUUAACUCUAGAAGAUUAAGUCUACACAAGAGCACCUCGCUCUGAUACCAAAUGAAAUACUAACUAGGCAACCUAAGAGGGGGGUGAAUUGGGAUUUUAAAAUUUAAGUUAAGCAAACCACACAACAAUUUAAUCUAAUGCCUUAAUGGAAUAAAAAAUAAUAAAUUCAAUACAGCACAAUAAUAAGAGAGUAAGGGAAGAGAAAACAAACACAAUGAUUUUUAUGUGGUUCGGGAAUCCUCGCCUACGUCCAUGCCUCCAAGCUCACCCGACUUGAGGAUUUCACUAUCCAAGCCUCCCAAGGCUUCAAGUUCUUUACAAUUGACUUUCAAUGUGUCAAUGGACCUUUCCAAUCAAGAGAUUAUCUCUCCAAUCUCUUCACCUCAAGUGUUUCUCACAUUUAUACACUCACAAUUUAAUGUGAAAUGAAAAUUACAACAAACAACUCUCUUUUAGAGUGGAUAUACAAAUGAUAGCUUAAUGAAGAUUUAAUCUAUGAUGAUUUGCAAAAUUAAAGGUCAAUAUAUGUUGUGUGCACUUGUUUAUGAUUGCAAAGAUUACCAAAAAUGAAUUGGAUUUGAGUUUAUAUAGUUUGAGCCUAAAAACUAGACGUUAUGGGUUUUCUAAUGAUAACCGGCUUGCCGUUUUUGGAAUCCGGUUAGCCGUUUUUAUGUUACCGUUACAACAAAUAUUUGAAUUUUACAACAUCCGACAUUCCGUUUCGAAAUCCGGUCAGCCGCUUGCUACAGUGACUGCUACAGUGAACUAUUAUCUAAAAUUAUAGUUUUGACCCAAAACUUUAUAGAAUUACGAUAUGGCCCAAAAUGUCAUAAAACUUUACACAAAGGUCCAAUAAAAAAUAAUUUGAGCUUUUAAAACUUAAUCAUUCUUAAUUUUUUUUGUUAUCAUCAAAAUCAAUAUUAUGGAAACAUGUAUGUUAACUGUGAGCACAUUAAAUGGCUAACGGGUCAUCAUUCACAAAAAGCCAAGAAUGAGAGAUGGUUGAGCAAUGAUCACAACUGCCACUUUUCAACUUGCCUUAAUAAAAAGGUUAAUAAUAUAUGUUCCAUUAUAUAUUCUUUUUAGUAAAUCUAUUGUCAUGUUUAUACAAUUAUUCAUUCAUUAUGAUUAUUAUUAUAUAGGUAUAUGAGAUCAUAGAUGAUGAUGAACAUGUCUCAGACACCUUGAGGUGGUUAUCUCAAGGACCCCGUCCUUUUGUAGUUAAGCACCCAGGAUAUGACAUCAAUGGAUAUCGUUUCCAUACUCGGGAACGAGACCAACAAUGAGUUCAUCAAAAUAAUGGAGUUAGUCUUAUUGCAGCAACUUUACAAGUAGCAAGUGUCAAGGACAAAAAUCCUAUCCUUGGUGACAUGUCUUACUAUGGAGUUAUUAACAAAAUAUGGGACCUUGACUAUCAUAUGUUCAGAAUCCCUUUGUUCAAGUGUGAUUGGGUUCAAAAUAAUGGGGAUGUUAAAAUCGAUGAAUUUGGCAUCGCUUUAGUGGACUUAAAUCGCUUGGGACAUAAAUCAUACCCAUUUAUAUUGGCUUCAAAAGCAACACAGGUCUUUUAUGUCACUGAGCAACUUGAUAAAAGAUGGUCAGUUGUAAGUCAUAUGGAGGUGUUCCAAAAAUGACAAGUGCUGAGGAUAUAGAUAUCAUGAUGGAACAUAAUCCUUUGACCAAUGGGUUACCAACUAUUGAAAAUUUAAAUGAUGCGGACAAAUAUGCAAGAGAUGGCAAGCAUAGAAUCUCGAUUGAUGCUUGGAAAAGCUGAUGGCAUUCACUGCUUGUAUGUCUUAUAAUAGUUUUGUGUUACAUUAUCUUUUAUUAUUAUAUGUUCCUUGUAUUGACUUUAGAUUAUUAUUUUUCAUUAUUUAUACUUUACAUAAUGUUCUAAUAUUAAAUGUGGAUUCAUUGCAGAAGCAACCUUAUGGAUAAAGGAAAAGGACUUGCUGAUGAACACUCUAAUGAGGAAAGUAUUGAUUAAUCGGGUAAUAAAGAAGUUCCUGAUGAAGGUAAUUCAAGUGAUAAGGAGGUUCCUGAUGAGUUUCCUAAUUCAGAGGAUCAAAAUGAUGUUCCAAAGAGUAGUUCCACUGUGAGAGAACCAACUAAAAACUCUGGCAAGAUGAGGAUGAGUGGUGGGAAGAUUGUAGUCAGGUACAAUGGGCUCCUUGUACUUGUUGGCACUGAAUCUACUGAAUUAGCAAGCUUUAUUAGGCUUUAUACUUCUAUUCCGGAUAUUAAACAAGAAUGAAAAAAGGUUACUCCACAUUUAAAGAGCCAUUUGUGGGAGUUUAUAAAGGUAAAAUGAUUAUUCAUAUUUAUAUCUUAGAAUUAAAUAAUGUAUAUGUUAAACUAUUUGAUCAUUAUGCUAUGUAUUUUUCUUAGGAACGUUUUAUUGUUCAUCCAAAUAGUAAGAAGCAAUUUUUUCAAGCACUUGGUAGUGCAUUCAGAAGCUUUAAGUACUUGCUCACCAGAAAGUAUAUCUUGCCACACAAGCACAAACGUAAAAGGUUGAAGAGGCCACAUUUUUCAGUACAGUAAUAUUCCUCAAAAUGUUUGGGAUACAUUUGUGAAUUCUAGAUUGCCCACUGAGUUUGAGGUGAAUACUUUUAAAUGUUAAACAUUUAGGUAUUUCAUAGAACCAUCUCUUAAAUCUAAUUAAGGACUGUUUUAUGCAGAGAAUUAGGCGUCAACAGCAAAAUAAGAGGGCUAAGAACAAGUGGAACCAUCGUUUAAGUAGAAAAGGAUAUGCUGGAUUGCUUGAUGAAAUUGUAAGUAAUAUGAUACUAACUUGACCAUUCUUGUAUAGCUAUUGGUAUAGAGAUGGUUGGUUUGAUGAUGAUAAAUUGGUAAACCUUUUGUUUUAAUUUUCUGCUUAUAAUUUGUGGUUAGUUAAGGAUGCAUACCAGCUGUGACAUUAUUAUUUUUUUAAACUAUAAUGCUCGGAAACUAGACUUGUCGAAACUGAAGUUGACAGGAGUGUAGCAUAGAAGCAUGCUAGGAAGAUGAAAAAGGUGAAUAUGACCCUAAUGUUGAAUCAGUUGUGAAGAAGAUUGUAAGUAAUAGCAAGUUUUUUUUUUUUCAAUUAGGCUCUAUUGGAAAGAAUUUGAUAUUCAUCAAUAUGAUUAUUAUACAAUUAGGAUGCACUGAAGGAGAAAACUAAAAAAAGGAGAAUUUAAAGCAAAUGUAAGAAAUGAUAUUCUUGCAAGUUCAAUUGGAAAGCCUGCCACUUCUGGACAUAUGCAGGGUGUUGGGAAAUUUAUAUCGCCUAAGAUGUACUUUGACACCCCAAAAAAUUCAUUUCAAAUGCGACAAGAGAGACUAAACAUACUAGAGAGGUUAGAUAAGCAAGAAGUAGGGUUGAGUGAUCUGAAGAAGAAGAUUAAAAAGUAACCUCGACAUUCAGAUGUUGGAAGCUCAAACUUUCCAUUACAUGAGCAAACAAUUGAAGAUGAAGCUGAAGAAAUGACUACUCAUAAUGAGGACAAGGUAUGAUACAAAUUGUUAUGCACAAUCAAGUUAAAAAAAUGACUUAAACAUUUGAUUUUAGACAAUUUUAGUCGUAAUCAAAAUCGUAAUUACAAUUUGUUUUUUUUUUUUGGCUUGUUAGUGAAUCGGCAUGACAAGGAAUGGAUCACCUGCAAAGAAGGAGCAUGAAACACUGACAAAGAAAAGGCAAUCACCAAAGAAGAUGAAUGAGUUACCAAAGAAGCAAGUAGCUGUUGAUUGUCCUGGAGACAAACCAGAAAGUACAAAGAAAAAGCAAUCAACAAGGAAGAAGAAGAAAUCACCAAAGCAGCAAGUGAUUGUUGAUUGUCCUAGAGACAAGCCAAAAAGUUUUAAGAAAAUGCAAUCACCAAGAAAGAAGAAAGAAUCACUAAAGCAGUAAGUGAUUGUUAAUUGUCCUAAAGACAAACCAGGCAGUCCAAUGAAAAGGCAAUCACCAAGAAAGAAGAAGGAAUCACCAAUGAAGCCUCACAAGAAACCAAGAAUGACUUUUGAAAUUUCAGGAGACAAACCAUCCAAUCCAAAAAAGAAGACAUCACCAAAAAAAGCCUCAAGAAAAGCCACUGUCAAGAAGAAGAACAAGGAAUUAUCAUACUGUGUAUAUGAACUGAGUUCUUGGGAUUGUAAUAUUUGGAAAUAUUUUUGAAACGAGCAUGGCUCAAAUAGGUUAUUACGUACCUUAUCAGUUGGAUAAAGACCAUUUGGGUUCAUACACACAGGACUCGUAUCAUCAGCCCAUGAUAAGGAUGCCUUUACUACAAGGGUAAAAAGGACACAAUUUAUUGCGGAACAGUUGAACAAAGCAAACAAAGGACAAAUGAUUUUCAUGCCAUAUAACCCUGGGUACAGUUCUAUUUACUUUCCAUUGAUGAUCAUUUACUAAAAUUGAUUCAUAAUUUCAAUUUCUUUGUGUAAUAGUUUCCAUUGGGUGUUGAUUGUAAUUGAUAUGACGACAAAGUAAGCAUUUUAUCUGGAUUCUAUGAACAACGAUUUAGGCGACGACAGUGACCUGAAGGACAUAGUUACCAAGUACGGUGAUAUUGUAUUUCUAAUAUAAUUUUAUAUAUCAUGUUUAUUUACUAACUACAUGUAUUGUAAUGUAGUGGGAUUUCAAUGCAUGUUGCGAUGAUUGGUAAAAAAAGGGUGAAACCAUAUAUCAAAAAAGUUUUGGUAAGCAAUUGUGACUUUUUUUUUUUUUUUUUGCAGCCCAUGACUUGUUAAUAUUUUAUCACUUGAAAGAAUUCAUAUGCAUAUGUAUUAAUGAUUAUUCUGUUGAUGAUAUAGUCCCCAAAUCAACCAGGGAGUACUGAGUAUGGAUACUAUGUGCUGAGGUUUAUAAAAGACAUAAUUGCAGACCCGAGUUUACUUCUCCAUAAUGUAAGUACACAUUCUUUCAUAUGCAUUGUAGGAUUACUUCACUUAUUACCUUUUACUAUAUAUAGUUUACUUUAGUCUGACAUGUGAUCAUCAUUUGACAGUUUAAAGGCAAAUGUGAAUACACUCAUAGUGAGCUUAAUGAAGUGCGUCUCGAGUAUGCUUCCUUUGUGUCUGAGCUGAUAGUAUUAGCAGUAGAGUUGAUGAUGUAUAUUUUUCUGAAGUUCUAAUUAUUAGUGGUAUUAUGGUAGUAUUUUGAAUUUCUAAGUGGUAGUGAAUUUAAUAAAGUCUUUAUGGAAUUUCAAAUUCCUUGUUACUAGAAGAUGAUAUUGUUUUGUUCCAAAACUAAGAUGUUUAUCAGCCUGGUAGUGUAAGAUCUUGAUCAGCCUUGUAGUGUUUCAGAUGAUAUAUAGUGUCGUGAUGUUUUUGUAUGCUGGUAAUGAUCUAGAUGGUAGUGUUGGGAUGUAUUAUUGUGAUAAUUGAAUAGAUGAUGUUUUGACAAUGUUAUGGUUAUUUCAAGUGAUGUUUUGAUGAUAUUGUUGAGAUAAUUUUGAUGUAUUGAUUUUAUACAUAUUUUGAUUUUUAAAUUUCAAUAGAAUUUAUAAAAUUAUAAAAUAAUAAUAUUAAAAAUAUUAUUAUUUAAAAUAUUAAAAUUUAUUUUCUAAUUUAAAAAUAUUAAAAAUUAUUUAAAAUAUUAAAAAUUUCUAAUUUAAAAUAUUAAAAAUUAUUUUAAUAAUAUUAUUAUUUUAAAAAAAUUCUCAUUGUGACACCAUAUUAACAUCAUAAAGCUGCGACACAUAAUUACCUGCCAUAAUUUAAAGUUGAAUUCAUAACACCCACCAAAAGUUUUUUCACAAUAAAACAAAUUUACCACCAAAAUAUUAAAACGACAUCACUUUUUUUGUGACACAUUUGUGAUAGUUAUAAGUUGUCACAUACUCUUGUGAUAGAUAAAUUAAUGUCACAGAUUUAUCACAGGGGCUACAAUGACAAAUAGAAACUCUGUCAUAAAGAGGGUCGGAUGACGGAUAUUCUCUGUCAUGGUAGCCCAUUUUUCUAGUAGUGAUUCAUGAUUUUCUUAAGAUUUUACAUCAUCUUGGCUUUAUGCAUUUAAUGAGUAAGACUUUAUAUCAUCUUAGCUUUAUGCAUUUAAUGAGGGAUAAGGUUUACUAUAUCCCCUAAUUAAUUGUGUUAAUUCUAUUAUUUAUAGAAUUUUCAUUUUAUGGCAAGUCUAAUAAAUUAAAAUUUUAUUUACUGAAUAUCAUGUAAUAGGUUUUAAUUUAUUAAAUUCCUAACUAAUUUAUUGAAAUUCCAAUUUAUUAGGAAUAUCGUUUCCUAGUUUAAUUAGAUGUCUAAUUUAGCAAGUUAAUUAGUGAAUGAAUUUUAUAAUUGGUGCGUAUGAUUUAUUUAGAGGAAAAAAUUGGUUUAAACAGAAAGUUUAUUAAAUGCUCUAGAUAUUUCUUAGAAGACAAGUAAAGCAAGCAUAUCAUAUUUAUUCCUAUUUAGAUUUAUAGGAAUUAUAAGAGGAAAUAAACUUUUAUUUAGAAAGAAUCCUAGUCUUUCAACUACAGUCUUAAUAAAGUUUUUCACAUCAGCCUCAUAGUCAUCAUACAAUAUAUCAAUUUUUUAUGGGUACAAUAUAUCAUAUUUAAGCCAAGAUUUAUCCAUUUUUUGUUUAGUACCUGACAUAUAAUUGACAUAAAUUUCAACAUAAUGUACUAAUGGUUUGCAAUGAUAAAUUGUUUCCAUUAUCAAUAAAAUUAAGCAACAAAACAUUAUUAAUAUUUAGUUUAUAAAUUUAAUGAAAUAAAUAAAUUUAAAACCAAAACUCGUCAUCACGUGCAACAAAUAUAACUUCACCAACGUGCUGUCAUCGUUUACCAAAACCUCUAACUAACAAUACCCACUAAUAACAUCCUAAAUAAUUUAGGCCACAUAUUUUAACAUUUAUUUAAAAAAAAUUUCUAACGAUCCAGCAUUUCAUGGACCACAAGACUAUCCAGCAUUUCAUGGACCACAAGACUAUGUAUACAUAUAUAAGCAACUAAACGUUCCUUGGUCCACAUGACCAAACUUGCCCCCACAUGGUACCAUUUCUUUCAAACAUAAAAAAGACAAUUGAAAAAGGGGUCCUCACUUUUCAACUCAAUAAAAUACACUAGAAAUUAUUAUCAAGUUUCCAAAUCUAACUCACAAUCAUUAAAAAAAAAUAUAUCAACGCCAUUGGACCCUAGUUUUGGAUCCAUCCCAAUAAAACACACUAGUCAAUGAAAAGUGCUAUAUCAUCAAGAAAAAUCAGUUCACAUAUAUGCAAAUUUUGACUGAAAAAUUACACAAUAUAACAACAUUCAGACAAACCAUUGCCAGCAAGCAUUUUUUAAACAUUGAAUGGAAAGGCAAGUAAAGAAUUGAACAAACCUGAUGUUAGAAAUCGAAUUCGAAAGGGAACAAAGCAGUGAAGUCCUGCAACUCAGGAAAAAAAUUAAAAAAAAAAGGACAUACUAAAUUAAAUGAUUGAGCAAUUUCUAGAUUUAAUAAAAGGACAAAGUAUAAGCUUCUUGAAUUAAAAAAAUAACCAAAGAUAACAGAAAAACAAACAAGAAUUAAAAAAAUAAAUAAUAAAGAUAAACCAUUCAUGAUAGAAAUCCCCCCAAAAAAAGGGCAUAAAUUAUGAACAAAUAAGGGAGAUAACAACAAAACUGACAAUUAAUCUUAUAAUGCCCAACUAAUUUAUUCAAAAUAAAAAAUAAAAAAGCUAAUUGACAAUAAAUCUAAGGAUUCGGUAAUUACAAGGAUGGCUUCUUGAUAACUCUAUGAAAUAAGAAUUAUCAUGGCACUUUUAAACUUAAAUCAAUAAUACUUAGAGAGUAAAUAAUGUGUUUUCAUUGCAUUUUUAUUAUAUUUUGCAUAAACAUUCAUCUUAGUUUAUUCGUAAUAAAUAUUUUUUGAUUUAGAAUAAUUUAUAUGCUAAAUCAUAUGCAUAAUUGUAGGUGUCCAGAAGCUCAAAUUUCAAGAAAAGAAUGCUGAUGCAAUAGGCUUGCAAAAGAUGGAAAAUAACUUAGCUACAAAAGAAUUGAAACAAAUCUGGACAAUGCAGUUGCUGUAGCCGUUGCUGUAGCAAUCCUGGAACAACGACAAAGAAAAUUUUGUUCGGGAUACUUGCAGAAUUGCGAUCUGCAGUUUCCUAACCUGACUUAUGUGCGCCCUAGACUUCCGUUUACCCUAAUUUUCAACUAUAAAAAAAGCACACAUCAUAAGGAAUAGGGGGAGCCGUCACCCAAGGAGAAAAACACAUAGAAACAAAAGAAAAACAAGAUUCAAGAGAGAGAUUAAGGGCUGCACAAGAGGAAAAAUUGCAGAGAUCAAUUGGGAGCUCAAUCUUUCUUAUCCUUUUCUUGUUUUCAUGUUCUCUAUUUAUUCAUGGGGAUGUGUUUCAUGGCCGAAACUUUGUUCUUUAUUUUUCUUUUGCAAAUCAUGAACUAAAUUUAUUUGAAUUGUUGGUUUAUUGACUGAAAAUAUGAGUUGUUGCAUGUUUGUUGUAGCAUUUUGUUUUGAUAGCAUUUAUUUUUAUUCAUUAUUUCGGUUGAUCACCCAUUUAAUGAUACAAGUUAGGAGAGAGCCACAAAAGGGCCUAUCUUAGUGGAACAUAUCAGAGAAAUACUUGGUUUUAGAUUGGGUUUACUGGAUUGAGUUUAAUUUAUCCCAAAAGGGCCAUGCUUAAUCUAAAAUUAGUGAUGAACUAGACAUAGGGAUUCACUUUGUAGGGUAAAUAGAACCUAAGCGUGUAAUGUUAUAUCUUAUGUGGGCAUAACAACUGAUCACUGUUAUGUUGCAUAUAGAUAUAAGAUAUCCUACAUGCGAUGGCUGAGGAUACAUAAGGAUUCUACCCAAUGCUGUAGCAACUGAGCCAACCAUUAGAAAAUAGUCAAGACCAUUAGGAGAGUUUAUUCACUCAACUACUCUAUAUUUCCAUUGGUUUUAUCCUUGAGUUUGACGUGAUAAUUUACUUUGUUGCAUUUAUUUAUUGUGUUUUUAUUUUAAUUAGUAUAUUAAUUUCAUUAAUUAUUUUAUCUUAAUUUAAAACAAAAUCUGCACUGUUAAGAUUGUUGUAGCAAGUAUGAUAACAUCAAUCCCUGUAGAGACGAUCUUGAAUACUCAUCACUUUAUUACUUGUUGUGUACACUUGCACAUUGACACUAAUAGCAUUUGAAUUCAUACCAACACUUCUCCACCGCCAAUUAAACAAUGCAAAGAAAUAGUGACAACGAUGACUUCAACAGUGAACGUGUUGAUGGAAGGCGCAACAAUGAGUAUAUAUGGUGAUUUUGUGCUUAAAAAUUUAUAAUGAAGUGGUUGCUUCAAUAGCAUAUACAAUGAUUUUGGUUUCCAUGCAAUGGAUUUCAAAACCAAUUUUUAUAUUAAAGUAGGGCUUGUUAAUUAUGGAUUUUGAGGGGUUUCAAUGGUGAGGUUUCUCAGCCCUCGCCGAUGGAGUGAUGAAGUCAGAGGAGCUGAAGUGUUUAUUAACACUUAGAAUUUUCUUGUAGUUUAAAGUCUAUAGUAAACAACAACGUUUAGAAGUUAAAUAAAUAUUUUUAUUUUUAAAAUUUUUUAAAUUAUGAAAAAUCAACACGGUGCCGUUUCAUGCCCAAAUUGAUAUAUCCUAAACUCACAGUUUCAUUAAAUAUUAAUAUGCUAUCAUAUUUAUAUGAUAAAUAAAAACUCUAUCACAAAUUUGUCAUGCCUUUAUGAUGUAUGAAAAUUCUGUCAUGUGUCUAUCAUAUUCUUGUGAUAAAUGACCAAUUUUCUAAUAUCUAUCACAAAAAUUCUGUCAUGUUAGCCCAUUAUUCUAGUAGUGAGAUAUUUAUCCAACUGGAUUACAAAGUAAUUGAAAUUAAUUGUAACACCUAUGGCCAAAACUUGGACCCAGUGUUAUUUUAUAAUCAAAAUUGAAACCUAUAGUUACAGUCAGCUUGAAUCUGAAUCAAAUGAGCAAAGGGGGGCAAUUGCCUUCUCUAAGCUCUAACCAUGAAACAAUAAUCAAAUCGUCAGACCUCUAAAAUAAGCCAAUGAAACAUUACUCACAAACCCAUCGAUUAACAUCUUUAAAGCUUUGGCACUGAAACUUAAACGAGCGUUUUGUGUUAAAUAGUAUUGAAAGUAAACACAGCAGCAAACUUAAACGAAAAAGUAUUGUCAUUCAUUGUGUGAAAAAUUAUGCGAAAUUCUGAUAUUUUACGUCGAUCUAUCCAAAUCCAAGCAGGAAAAUGAAUGCUCGAGCAAUAUUCAAAUAUCAAAAGAGCAUAUUUUCAAAAUUAAGUUAGGAAAAAAAAUUUCAGUAUCAAUUAUCAUCAACGGGUUCUUGAUGUUAAGAAUAAGCAUUAACAUGAGCUGCUCAGGUCGGCUGAUGAAUCAGCAAGCUGUUAAGCAAUAUGCUGAGUCAUCAGCCACGUCAGCAGUCAGUUACGGAGGCUGUUGCUUUGCUUAAGAAGCCUCUGGAUAUGUAUAUAUAAACCCCUGUAAUCUCAGUUCAUUUUGUAGCUUAAUGAAAUGAAUUUGGCUCACUAUUCUUCUAUCAAAACUUUUAGUAUUUUCCCUUCACUUUCUAGGCAAACAAACACAGCAACAUCUUUUAACUGUUGAAAUCUUCCAGCUCCGGUGCAAGCCUCAGUCACAAUGUAUUCACUCGAUGGCACAUCUUCACCCAGACUUUUCGGUAAAGUGAAUUAAAGCUUUCAGAAUGAUAGAAAGCAAAUGCAUGAGCCACGAAGAUCUGGAAGAAUGCCAAAGCCAAACCCUAAGUAUACUACUGAGAGCAUGAGUUGACUCCCAUGCAAGCCAUGCAUGAGACAUGCAUAUGCAGAUAUUGUGAAGAUAAGUGCUGGAGCCGUGAGAACAUGAGUUGACUCCCAUGCAAGCCAUGCAUGAGACAUGCAUGUGCAGAUAUUGUGAAGAUAAGUGCUGGAGCCGUGAUCUGGGGAUAACCUUAUCAACGAUUGUGCAACGAUUAAAGGGGAAGCUAAGACACGGAAGUUGUUUUCGAUUAUCUUUCUGUUUCGAAAUAUUAGCUAAGUUGUUAUUUUAAUAUUUGUUUUAUUGAUUUCAGCCGUGAUUGUGGGUUGAAAAUCAAAGUCUUGUUAUUAUAAAUAAGCUCCAGAAUAUGAAUAAAGGCAUUGAGAAUUCAAACUACAAUUAUUUGGUUAUUUCUCACCAUAAGCAGAAAAAUAUCACUAGCAUUAUUCGUAAUCAUUGUCUGCAUCUGACUGGGACCUAACACAGAACGAUACAUAAAACUUUAAAUUGUUCCUGUAACACACAGAAAGUCUUUAGUUCGGUAUCGUAAAUUCAAUUUCUUAUAAUCUCAUUAAUAUACUUUUUGAAUUUUAUUGUGAUCUUCAUUAGGCGUCAAUUUUUAUUUUUCAUUUAAAAGAAAAAGCACUUCCGGAGUCAUUGUAAGAUCUUUUUCUGUGUAAAUAUCUUUUUCUUUUAAUUUAAAAUUAGAUAUAUCAAACUUAUUCAUCGGGGUUUUGUUACAUUUCCUUUUAUUUUCAAUAAUUAAUUUGUUAUCUAAUUGGUCAAUAAAUUUGCUUCUUGUUUGUCCAGUACACUAAUAUAGAUGCUGUUCAUUAGAAGCAGACACAUAGCUGUAAAUUAUUUCUUAGGUUUUGAGAUAGGAAUGACGAAGGACAGAUGCAGGGGCACUGUUUUAAGUCAACCAAAGUUAAAGAUGAUUCGAACUCAUAGUUCUUGCAUAAAAACCUUUGUUAGCUUUACUUUUGUUGUCAAAAUUAUUA
This 54140-nucleotide long non-coding RNA is filed under the name Citrus x clementina. RNAcentral's name for it is "Citrus clementina (C. clementina) long non-coding RNA (CCLE_LNC002639)". The record is from RNAcentral. Lineage: Eukaryota; Viridiplantae; Streptophyta; Magnoliopsida; Sapindales; Rutaceae.